Molecule: long non-coding RNA, 51143 nt
Filed under: Setaria viridis
Lineage: Eukaryota; Viridiplantae; Streptophyta; Magnoliopsida; Poales; Poaceae
Description: long non-coding RNA (SVIR_LNC002105)
Source: RNAcentral
GGGCAAAAGAGUUCCAAUAAGUUUGUGCUCAAAGAAUAUGCUAGGUAGAUCCCUUUCUAGUGCGAGCCUACAAAAAGACUAUUUCUCUCCCAUGUUGAUCAUCCAUUACAUCUUGCAGUACCAUCACCCCCGAGCUAGCCUCAUUUCUCAUGGCUUUCAUCUGCUGUUCGUCAAUCCACUGCAUGGCCACUGGUUGCUGGCGAAGCCAUGGAUGAUCUUCAACCGCAGGGUGGUUGUGCCUGAAAGCCAACAGCGCAGAGGGCAACCUAGCAUCUUUGGCAGAGUCUUGUAUGUCUCCUUGUAUCGGUUAUGGAUUAUACUGCAGCUUCUCCUGAGUUCAUCUACUGUUGUCAACUUCUAUAUUGCAAAGCAAUGACCACUUGUUUGAAGACUCACUAUAUUGCCUGCUAUUGUUCUUUGCUAUGUGUUACUUUGUUGCAUGCUCACAAUGGUGAGUACAAAAAGCUCAUAAGCUGCGUUAUGUCGUUAUCUCUAGUCAAGUGAGCAUUCUAUUUCUUAAUUUUUAGUUUGAUGAGACAUUUGAGUUUUCGCUGAUACCCCUAUGAAAUUUAAAAGGAUGCGGUAUGCCUACCGUUACAUGGUGAAAAAAAUCCCAUGAGCUACCUUAUCUCUAGUCAAGUGAGCAUUCUAUUUUUUAACUUUUAGUCUGAUGAAAGGCAUCUGAGUUUUUGGCUUUUCGCAGAUAUUGUUAUGAAAAUUAAAAGGAUGCAGUAUGUCUGCCGUUACAUUGAAAGCACUCUAAGAAAACGUGGCAAUUCGGGAGAACGAUUCCUCCAAGUCUUAAUUCCAUUCAUGUUUACUUUCUAAAUUUUAUCCAAAUCAGGCAAUCUCCCAUCGUGCUAUUAAAGGAACAGAUUAGAAACAAAUUUAGGCUCAGUCUCACACUCUCAUGUCAUAGCAGUUGAAUUGGGCAAGGGCACAGGGCACUACAUAACACUAACAUUUUGGAAAUCCUAAGAGCAUAACAUAUAUCACAUCCAGCUAGAUCUAGCAACUGCUCAUUCAUUCGCACUACAUUUUCCGCUUUACAAGUUUGCAAUUCACCAAGACGGAGAGGAAUUUAAUCAUUCACCCAAAACAACAACCAGAUAACCAAACUGACCUUCUUGACGGGAAGAACACAAAUUGUCCUGCCGACUACUCCGCCCUCUCCUUGGAGAACUGGGAGAUGUCGCUGUGCUUGAAAAAAUCCUCCCAGUUCCUCCCAUCGAAUUUCCUGUACUCGACAUGCUUCAGGGUGCCGGGGUCGACGCAGGUCACGGUGACGGCCACGCCGUCCGGGUUGGACCUCGGGGAGUAGAAGGAGGUGAUGCCGCAGACCUUGCAGAAGGUGUGCUUGGCCGUAUGCGUGCCGAAGGUGUAGGUGGUGAUGAACUCCUCGGAGCCGGCCUGCAGAUUGAACUUGGCGGUGGGGACGAUGAUGUGGGUGUUCCCGCGCAUGGAGCAGUCGGAGCAGUUGCAGAUCCACGCCACGACGCUCGCCGGGGCCUCGACCUGCCACCGCACGCGUCGGCAGUGGCAACCACCGCUGUGGACGACGACCGCCUCAGAGGCCAUGAAGAUCCGCGAGCAGGAGAGCAGAAGCUUGAGACUCAGUUCUUGCAGUUGACUCCGUAGUCCCGGUCCAUAUCCCCGCACCGCAGCCCCGCUCAGACUUAGGAUCACGAUUACAGCUCUGUACCAUUUCAGUAGGUCUAAUUAUUCCUAUAUAAAUUUCUCUCUUUUUUUUUCAGCGUACAAGUGGAGUUUCAAUUUCAAAAUCUUACAAGGUGAUUUUUUUUUACAAAAGUAUAGGUUGUUCCUACCAUUUCAUUGCAAGACAUGUGAUUGGAUAUGAUAAGAUGAAAUGAAACUUUUUAGCCCCUAAUGACAGCUUCAUCAGAUUUCAUACUCUUGGAAACAGUGCAGUUUCAUUCACAUGAAACUCCUUCCAUCUCUCUUCAUAAUUACCCUGCCAUAUCAUCACAUGAUGAUGUGUCAUUGUAUUUAGUGUGCAUGAAAUCUCAUGAAAUUUGCACUGGGACUACCCUAAUAUCAUGCUCUAUGUUUAAAAAUAUAUAUUAUAAUUUUUUACAAUUACUUUAAUGUAAACAUAUAUCUCUAAGUCAAUUUCAUAAUGAAAAUAAUCACAAAAAUUAUUAAUAUAUUUUUAACAUAAAUAUUACUUAAUACUUAACUUUUACACGAAGUAACAAUAAAGAAAAAUCAACUGGGUCAAUCAAAAUAGUUAAUGAAAAUAAUAUAAAUUUUGCUUAAGAGGUUAAGCAUGAUAAAAUGAUCAAAUUGACAAGGUAAUAAAAUGGACUUUUUGUCUAAUACAAAUAACAAAUUAGCUAAAAAUCUUAGAUGGCAACAUAAACUGUUUGAGCACUCCAUAAGGCUUGUAUCCAAACAGGUAACCACAAGGCGUCGCUAAGAACGGAUCAUGAGUGCAUCCGUCCGUAAGCGAAGGGUGUGUAUGUGCCCGUAGUUCGGUGGCUUCAGUCUGGUGUAAUGUAAACACAUCCAUUUAUUCUCAGUUUUCCACACAAAUUUCACUAAUAACCGGUAACCGCUGCACAAGCACAACUUAACAAUCCACAAACACAAAAAGAGGCCAGAAUUUAUUCAUGCACUAGGCACAUCGCCACAUCCACGCCGAAAUUAACCUGAGCAGUGACCACUCUACUUCUCCGCCGCCUUCGCCUUCGCCUGGUUCUCGAACCACUCCUCCCAAUUCCUCCCGUCGGCCUUCCGGUACUCGACGUGUCUGAGCGUGCCGGGAUCCACGCAUGCCACAGUGACGGCGACGCCGUCCGGGUUGGACCUCGGGGUGUAGAAGGAGGUGAUGCCGCAGACCCUGCAGAAGGUGUGCUUGGCCGUGUGCGUGCCGAAGGUGUAGGUGGUGAUGAACUCAUCGGAGCCGGCCUGUAGAUUGAACUUGGAGGCCGGGACUACGGUGUGGGUGUUCCCGCGCAUGGAGCAGUUGGAGCAGUUGCAGACCCACGCCACGACGCUCGCGGGGGCCUCGACGCGCCACCGCACGCGGCGGCAGUGGCACCCGCCGGCGUGCACGACGACCUCCUCAGCCUUGGUGGGGACGGAGCUACUCAUCUUGUAUUUGUGGCACCCCGCGCUGCUUGCUCUGGUGACUUUAAAAGAAGAUCUGGCACGGCUUGUGUAGCAGAGAGAGGAGCCGGCGGUGGGACUAAGCGUGGAAAUCCUCGCAAUCCGGGUGGCAGGGUGGGGUAGGUAGCCGCCGAGCUAGCUGCCAGUAGCUGGUGCCACGCGCUGGCCGCCAGUGAGCGGUGACCGCUUGGGAAGACGAUUGAUUAGACAGACACGAACACGACAAAGGAGAAAAACGCCGGGGGGCAUGGGCUGAGGCUGAUAGGCCCAUAUGGCCGUUGACUUGUUGCCCGGACAAUCCAGUUAUCUCGCUGUGUAGGCCACCGAUUUGCAAGAAGGUGCGACCGGCCCACGGCCCAUCCACCCAACGGCGUGGGCGGAGCGAGGUGGCCAGUGCCGGAUGGCACUCUUUAGAGCCUAUUUAGGACUGCUCCACUCCAGAUUUUGUAGCUCCACUCCGGCUUCAUGUUGCUAAAUACCUCCAACUCCAUCUAUAACAACUCCAAAAAAACGUGGAUCUGGGGGCAACUUCAAUAUUUUCCUGGAGCUCCUCAAAGGGUGCUCCAAAAAAUAAUUUUCAUACUUUCUCUUGGAGUUGGGUGAAAAUUACCCACCAAUGCCACCCUUUACACGGUAAUGUUUCGGAAAAAAAAACAUCGGCGCUUUCUGUUCCGCGAGACCGCGUCUCAUCUCGCGACUGUUCGUUUCCGCGCCACCGCCCCUCGCGUUUGCGCCGCCGAUCGCGAUUCUGCCGCCGACCCUCGUGCCUGACAUGCCAAUCCUCCACGAUGCGCCUGAUACUCCUCCGCCGCCGCUGCCAUCUCCCCUCCGGCGCCCGUUCCAUCCGUCGCUGCCCAUGGCCGAGCUCGGCCUGAACGAUGGCGCCCAAGCACUAGGCGCCGAUGAGUUGGAGGCGACCAACGUCCUAGCCGGCAGCCUAGUUGAGGGCGGGCGAGGCCUCACAGGGGGCGGCUGUGGCUUGGCCGUGACGAUCGGUUCCCUGGAGAUCGGACCUGAAGAAGACUUUGCCUUGGCCGUCCUGGCCGGCGGCGGUCCUAUCCUGGGGGCGGGCAGCCGUGGCUUGGGCGCGGCCGGCCAUGUUGUGGGGGCGGGCGGCCGUGCUCUGUCCGGUGGUGGCCGUGGCUAUGCCACGACCAGCAAUCCCUUAGUAGGUGGUGAACCUGAAGACAAUGGCGGCAGUCGUGUCCUGGGAACUGGCGGGCGUGGUUUGGGUGCGGCCGGCCGUGGCCUGAUCGGUGGCGGUCGUGCCCAUGCCAGCAGCAGGCAGCCCCUGACCGGUGAUGAGCCUGACCUCAAAGAGGUCAUGGCCGGAGGCCUGGCCGGGUUCGGCCGUGGCCAGGGGGUGGGUGGCCGUGGCCUGGCCAAAGGUGCCCGUGUCUUGUGCAGGGGCAGCCACACCCUAGCGGGGGUUGACCCCGACCUUGAAGAGGCCGUUCUUGGUGGCGAAGAUGCAAGUGUCGGCCAUGGUCGUGGGAAGAAGCAGCUAGGAAGAGGCCGGGGCCAAGGACAGAGCAAGAAACCCUCCAAGGCAACUAAGAAGAAUGAAGAAGAGGAGGUAUGUGAAUUAUCCUUUAUCCUUGAUGUAUGUUUCAUCUACGUUGAUACAAAUAAUUAAACAUUGACAAGAUGAAGUAUCAGUGUACAUAAUCAAAUAGCAUGAACAAUGUAAAGUCACGCUAGAUUGAAAUAAGAGUGUAGAUUCCUUCAUGGAUCUUCUGAUUGUUACACUAGCAUUUAUGUUUGCAUUGUAUUGGCUCAUGGUCUGAAUCUAUAACGUACAUGAUCAGUAGAAAGUAAUGUAUUGACCAGAAUAAUAAGAAGUUUGUAUUGGCAUGAAAGAAGAUGAGUUAUUGGUGUAUACAUACCUACAUGAUCUGUAGAAUGUGAUGUUGUAAAUACAUGUAUAUAUAAUGCUCAGGGAGAUAUGAUGGACUGGACCGACGCAUACACUUCGAUCGUUUGUAACUUGUUUGCAGAACAAGUUAAGAAAGGGAAUAGACCAAAUACACAUUUGAACUCUGUAGGCUAUACCGAAGUGUCAAAUAGGUUUUAUCAGAUGACAGGAAUUUAUCUUAGCAAGAUGCAACUGAAAAACAAGUGGGAUAAGUUGAAGACAAAAUUAUCAGCAUGGAAUAGAUUAAUGAAGAGGCAAACAGGAACAGGUUGGGACAGAAUAAAGGGUGUGAUUGACAUGGACGAUGAGUGGUGGAGAAGGACAAGGAAGGUGAGGAUGUACUUUUUAAAAAAAUUUAAUGAAUCAUUCAUACUCCUUACUCACUCAUUGCUAACACUAUUUUCUUAUCUUUUUUUCACUACAGGACAAAAUCUCUGCAAAAUGUGGAUGAUUUGACGGUUAUGUUUGGUGACAUCAUUAAUGAUGAAACAGAUCAUUGGAACCCUAUGACUUCGAACCCUAUCAUACCCCAAAAUGAUGAGACUCCUAUUGAUGUAGACAUUGAUGUUGGUGAGAACCUUGAUGGUGGUGGGGAUGAUAUUCAUGUGUACCCAACAGAAGAAGACAAUGAAGGUGCUACUAUGAAUGACAUUGAGGAGGUGUCUCCAUCCAUUGGCAAUGGAAAAAGAAGAUCGAGGGUUAUCAUAGACAAACAAAAGAAAGCAAAAAUAGGAACCGCACUUGUCAUUCAGGAAAAAUUGAGUGAGAUAGCUGAACAAGCCAAGGCUUUCACAUCAAAGAAGGUUGGCGAAGUUACUGUUGAACAAGUAAUGGACCUUAUUUUGGACUGUGGAGCGGGGUAUGGUGCUGAUGAGCAUUUCAUUGCCACUGAGUUGUUUGUGAAGAAAGAUCAAAAGGACAUGUUCAUGACCUUUCCCACUAAGGACAUUAGAUUCGGUUAGCUUACGAGGAAAUUCAACGCUAAAUACGGGAAUUGAAGACUAUCAUUUGUGUUGUCGGUCGUCCUUUUCAUUAUUUUCGAUUGUUUGGACACCAUUUUUAUGUUAUUUUAUUAAUAUCACUUGAACUUUGUCAUCAUUGAACCUUUUGUAUUAAUGUCAGUUGAACAAUAAUGUAUUCAUGUCAUUUUGUUUCAUGUCUAUGUCCUGUCUAGUCAAAAUAUAUUCAUGUCAUUUUUUUUCAUGUCAAAUUGCAGGUGUCUGAGAGUGAGAGUCAUAGUAGUGAGGAGAGUGAGCAGUUUUGGAGUUUAGUUCUUGGUGGUGCUCAAGUAGCUCAAAGUUACGUCAAUCUUUAUCUAGAUUAAAACCCACCAAGAAUAUCAAAUCUUAGUGGCAUGGGAUGGUUGAUGGAGACAAUAAGAAAUGCGGGAGAAUGCCAUAGACAACUUCAUAUGAAUUAGAAUAUAUUUAUGGAUCUUCAUGAUUUAUUGGUGGGAAGGUAUGAAGUUAAAUCUUCCAUGCAUAUGAACACACUUGAGAUGUUGGCCAUUUUAUUAUACACUUUGGGUGGAAAUGAGUCAAAUAGGAGAGCUUAAAAUAGAUUCAACCAUUCUGGUGAAACAAUAAGUAGGAAAUUUGAUGAGUUCUUAUUAUGUUUGAUCGCUAUGGCAAAAAAUUUCAUUAGAACAAAAAAAUCCAAACUUCCCUACUGUCCAUAAAAGGAUAAGAGAGGACAAACGUGCAUAUCCACACUUUAAAGAUUGCAUAGGUGCUCUUGAUGGCACUCGUAUCCGUGUCGUACUGUCACCCGAGGAGAUGGUAAGGUAUAUUGCGAAAAUCGGAAUGGCAACCCAAAAUAAUUUUAUGUUUUGCUUGUCCCAAUGCUGAACAAAUAAUAACUUGUAUUACCUUCUCAUUUUGCAUGCACAUACUAUGUUGUUAAAGCGGGUUAUCCUAAUCGCCCUGGGUCUCCUUACAAGGGUGAAAGAUAUCAUUUACCCGAAUGGCAUAGGAGUAUGGAACCAAAGACUCCCGCUCCCACGGAAAGAUUCAAUCAUAUUCACUCAUUUAUUCGCAAUGUUAUUGAGCGAUCGUUUGGACUAUUAAAAAUGAAGUGACAAAUUCUCUACAAGAUGCCACCGUACCCUAUGUACAAGCAAAAGAUGAUUGUUGUGGCUACUAUGGUCCUUCACAAUUAUAUCCGUGAACAUGGAGGUGAAGACAUUGACUUUGAUCAGUUUGAUCGUGAUCCUAAUUACAUACCUACUAUCCCAGAAAGGUAUAACAAAUAUGCAGUUUCUCCCUUGGCGUUCGACCGGUCUACUUCGAAUGCCAAUGCUCCAACUAUAGAUGUAUUUCGUGAUGAGUCGGCCACCGCCAUUUCUCUUGCUUGGAACUAGGUAAUAUUGGUGUGAUGAAUUUUGUAAUUUCAUUUGGUGUCACACAGUUCAAAUUUUAAUUUUUUAUUGGAAUAUGAAGCUGUCCCUGUUCUCUAAUACGAAAAUUUUCCACGUGAAAAAAAGAACACGAGCAGUGCCGGAACGGCACAGCUACCUCACAAGCACGGUACUCACAUGCACGGUAGCGCAUGGAUUACUGUAGUGCGGUACUGUAGCGCGGAGAAAAACUCAUCCAAAGGGUAAAAAUGACUAUUCCCACUCGUUCCUACAAUUUCUAGAGCUGAAUUUGCAUCUGAAUUUGCAUCCAGUAACCAAACGGGUAUCUUGCUCCCUAUUUUUCUAGAGUUGGUAGGGUGGAGUUGAAAAAGGUAGAGUUGGUAAAAGCACCUACAAUUUUACCAUUCUUGCAUAAAUGAAGCAACAUAAUUGUCAUUUUUCUGACUUCGCGAGCCACGUAUUGUGCCAGCAUGGAUUGAGCAGGGAAAAUGACGUUGGUGUCCCUGCCCUCCUCACAUUGGGCAUAUUUUCCCCUGCAACAGACACGUGGGACCCGCACGUCGGGCUCAUCUUCAACCUCCCACCCGCACGUUCGUCCGUGCAGUGAGGUUGGGGGCGGCGACCGCUCGAGCCGCGCGCUCUGGGCGGCUCCGACGCGGCCGUCCCGGUCCCGGCCCGCCUGCCCAGUGCGGCACAGGCUCUCAUCAGCCCGCGACGAUCAUCUCCCUGCGCACGUGCUCCGGCAGCUGCAGCGUGAAGUGCUCGAGGCCGUAGCCGCGCGUGGUGAAGGAGUGGCCCGUGGAGUGCGACCACGGGACGAGCGGCGGCGUCAGCGACGGCCACCCCGACUGCGACCGCACCGCGCGGCGCUGGCUCCCGAUCCGCUCCAGCUCCAUCGCCUCCUCCCUCCUCCUCUUCCGUCGCCGACGUGAUCCGCGGCUGCAGCAGCGGCGAUGGAGUCCGCUCUGCCGCAGCAGCACCACCAGCAGCAGCCGGAGGCGCGGCCGCGACCGAUGCUCGCGGGAGGUGGGGCCGCCAAGAGCCGCCACCACGCGUACAGCCGCAAGGAGAAGUUGCUCACAAAAAUCCUCUGCUCCAUGUGAGCCUCCAGCAGCCUCGGCAUGCACGGUCCUGGUAAAUGGCGCGACUGCUGGCUGGAAUUGCGAACCUGCUGGCGCAGGCGGAGUUGGAUCGGAUUGGAACCCCGUCAGCGUCAGCUCGUGGAUUGAUUGGCUACGUCUUUCCUGCACGCUAGCUUUGGCCUCUGGGUGCUUUAGCGGUUGCCUGGUACCAGGUUGUUGAGCACGUGCGCGGCCCAGCUCAUCGUGUCCGAGCCUCCUGUAUUCUCCUGAGUUCCGCGAGGACGUGGAGUCCGUUGGGCUGGACGAAGCGGCCAAGAGAUGGGCAAUGGCUGAGAGGUUGGAGAUGAGCCUGAUGGGCGGGUCCCACAUGUUUGUGGCAGGAGAGAGGGGAAGAUAUUACCAACGUGAGGAGGGCAGGGGCACCACCGUGUCAUUUUCCCAGCUCAAUCCAUGCUGGCGCGAGGAUGUGACUCGUUAUGUCAUAAAAAUGAUAAUUCUGUUGCUUCGUUUAUGUAAGGAUGGCAAAAAUGUAGGUGCGAUGGCAACCGAAGGAGUCACGUUCGCAAGCAUGGCAAAUGGUUAAAAUAUUCCGCCCGCGCCAAGCCGCAACCGGCACGCCGGUCUGACACUCUGACUCGCUGUUGCCACCGCCAACGCCCGCCGCCCGCCUGCUCGCAGUUGCAGGACCAAUUAAGGGCCUGUUUGGAUACCACCUCAUAAACUUUAGGACACUCAUAAACUUUAGGAGCUAAAAAUUGGUACUCCUAAAAUUUAGGAGUGGGGUGUUUGGAUGGACUCAUAAUUUUUAGGAUGAUUGAGGGAAAAUGACUGUUGUACCCCUAAUUAAUGAGUAACUGCCGGUUACUUUCUACCGCCAGGGAUGCACUUUUGGCGCGAGCGAGCUGCCUUCGGCGCGGCGCGAGCGCGCGCUGCCUCUGGCGCGCAAGUGCUCCCUCUGGCGCACACGGGAUGCCUGCCUGGUUUUUUUUUCGUCCUUUUUUUUAUUUUGCCGGCCCUUUUGCUGGCGGCUUUGAGUAAAAAAUCGUAGUUGUCCAAAAAUACAACUCAAAAAUAUUUAGCACAGUCCAUCGUCAUUGUCAUUACAACUCAAAAAUACAAAACCUCUACAAUCUAUUGAACAAACCAUUAGCUAUACUUCACGAAAUUCAUUCAUAUUUUGAUCUCCGUCUGACUCUUCGAUAUUUCCGUCAUGUCCUUCAAUGCUUGAUUCUUCGGUCAAAGGAACAAAAUUUUCAUCACGAUCACACAUAUGGAAGGCCCUAUCCGCAUUAUCGUUCUCCCUAAUGAAAUUGUGAAGUGCCAUACAUGCUACUAUUAUUUUGCUUUGCUUUUCAAUUGGAAAACUUGGAAUUCCCAAUAAAAUCCUCCAUUUCAUCUUCAAAACUCCGAACGACCUCUCAAUAAGAUUUCUAAGUGAUGAAUGCGCGUAAUUAAAAGUCUCCUUCAUACCUCUCGGAUUUGGGCCACUCCGGAACUCAGGAAGGUGGUACUUCGUACCUUUGUAUGGUGCAAGAUACCCCGGGCGGUUAGGAUAUCCAGAGUCUACUAGAUAAAACUUCCCUACAAAUACAAAAGAGAAUAUGGUUAGCAAUAUUGGCAUAUAAUUUAUUUUCAAAAUAUUAUUGAGCAAAAUUGUACCUGGAGGAGGGUGUGGAUACUUGUCAGCAUAUUUAUUUAAGGCAUCACUGAAUACUCUCAUAUCAUGAACUGAUCCAGGCCAUCCACUAACAACAAAUGUGAAUCUCAUGUCGAAGUCACAAAUGGCAAGCACGUUCUGUGUGGGGUAUCCAUGUCUGCCCGUAUGCUGCACCACCUUAUUACUUGGUACCACAACUGGUACAUGAGUCCCAUCUAUAGCUCCUAUGCAAUUGUUGAAAUAUGGAGCAUACCUAGGAUUUCUCAACCUCUGGUGAAUUGUUGUAAACUGAGGGUCCUUUGGCCUAAUUAUAUCUACUACUAGCCUAAUAACACAUGACAAAACCAAAUCAAAUGUGCGGCUUAUUGUUUCCAAUGACCUUACAAACCGAUCCGCAACUUGUCUUAGUGAUUGGGGUGCACCAUUUAUCCAUAAGAAUAUAGCUAAAGCCUCCAUCGUUGACAUUCUUCUAGUUCCCCUCAAACCAUAAGACUCAACCAACAGGUCAUGAAGUUGGUGAAAUAAAGUGCAAGACAUCCUAAACAUGUUGUAGCAUGAGGUUGGAUUUGAUAGUGUCUCUUGCACCCAUUUUAUGCCUGGUACAGUAGGUACUCUAGGUGGCCCUUUGUGAUAGUAAGUGUCAUAGUACAUACCAAGCAUUAUUGAGGACUCCAUAAUCUCUCGAUUCCUCUUUCGACGUAUGAUUUCCAGCUCCAUGAACUUGCAUGCCAUAUUAAUGAAUUCAUCGUCAGAAUCUCCUUCACCAUCAUCCUAAUUCACCAUUAAAAAAACAGGCAUACAUUAGUCAAACAAAUUCUGCACAGUCACAUUAGUACUGCAGCCGAGCCAUGUUCACAAACUAAAAUCAAACAUGUUCGACAAAAUCAAAUAUUCCAGUACUCAAACAGCCACAUUUUGAAACAACCACAUAUAGAAACAACCACAAAUUUAAACAUGUCACAUGAUCACAACUUGAAACAGGCACAUAUUCAAGUUCUAGCAGCCGAAAUAACAUGUUCAGAAACCAACAAUUCAAGGUUCAAACAACCACAAAUCUAUACUACUAAAUUCUAAUCUAAGUUCUCCUUCUUGCACCAUCUUUUCAAGAAAGCCAUCCUAGCCUCUGCAUCAUCAAGGUUGCAGAAGAAUUCUCUGUUGAAUUUAUCCUUGCAUAUGUCCCAACAAGCAAACAUUUCAGCACUAUCCUUCCUUGCACCACAUUCUACUGCUAAUUGUUGGCAUCUCUUAACUUCAUCUGCCACUGAAUUGGUGUUCAUCUUCUGCCUCUUAUCUUCUGUGAAUUUGACAAUUGAUGCACCAACAUUCCUGAAAAUACUAUGGGUCACAUCAUCCUUCUCUGAUUGCCUGUUGAAGUAAUUUGUCACAGCAGUGAUCAUUGGGCUUCUAGAUUUUUUUGGAGGGCUAGUAGCAGUUGAUUUGGUGCUUGCAUUGGACCUCUUCCUGGUGUUUGAGCUCUUAGGGCUGUCAUAGAAAGAGGCAGGUUCACCAUCACAGUCCUCUCCACCAACUGAAGGGUCUCCAAUGUCAUCAUCUUCACCAUCUUCUUCUUCUUCCUCCUCCACUUCUGGAAUGUAUGCUGUGCUUCCAUCAACUACAGUUUCAUGAAACAUUUCUUCCAACUGAUCUAAGUACUCUGGAGCACCAUGCUGCAACUUCCUCAAAUCAGGACGUUUCUGCAAGUGACAUGUCAUUCUAAGUCAGGAGCACUACAUCCUGGAAAUUAAAGGGUUAGUACAAAAUUUAUGUCUCACCUGUGUGUGUAUAUCCCACCACCAAUUUGGAGCUAGCACUGUCCCAUCAGCAUUUCUACCUAGACCUAAUUCCCUCUGUAGGCCUUUCCAAAAGGUAUACAACCUUUUUAAUUGAUCUCUUCUAUUCCUAAGCUGCCCAAAAUCAUGCUUCAAACCAGUAGCCAUGUAGUACUUUUUCUGAAUUAUCUUCAACCCUCUAGUGGACAUGUUGCCUUUGGGACAGUUUCCUUCUCUAAUUUGCUCAACUGACAAAUCACAGAAUAUUCCAGUAUUCCUUUCUGUCCACUGUGCUUUGUCAUUUUUAAUCUAUUGGAUAAAGAACAGUGAAUUUCCAGGCAACACACAAAAAGCAAUCAACAAAUACAUGUCACUGACUCAGGAACUAUGUAAUGAAUUUAUCUAGACAUAAUACAUGAAGGCACUAAUUCAUGAAGCAACAUUUUCAGGAACUCACAAAUUCAACAUCUAACAAUUUCAGCAUGUCACAAUGGGAAUAAGUCACAGAUUCAUGAAGCCACUAAUUCAUCUAGCCACUAAUUCAUCUAGCCACUAAUGCAUGAAGCUCUGUCAUGCAUCUAGUCACAAUUCAAUCCAUUCCUGAAAAUUUCAGAACAACUUCCACAGCUAAUUCAUACUAUCAACUUCCACAGCUAAUUUCAUUCCCAAUUUCAGAACAACUAAUUCUAAAUGGACCCUAAAUUCAUACUAUAAAGUCACAGAUUUUACCUGUGAGGCAGGAAACACAACUUCGACAGCUGCAUCAUCAACAACAUUGUGUUCAUAUGCAUCAAAAGCAUCUUUUGGAGGGCCUGAACUUCCUCCACCACGAGCACCACCUCGACGGCCUCUUCCACGACUUGCACUGCUAGAACCACCACCGCGAAACAAAGAUCUUGCACGGCCUACUCCACCUCUGCUACCAGGCCCCCUGCUGCCGCCCGCCAUCCUGCUGCCGCCUGCACCUUGACUGCAGCCGGCCGCCUUGCUGCCGCUAGGUCCUAUGGUGUCGCCGGCACCUUUGCUGCCGCCGGCCGCUCUGCUCCCGCCGGCCCCUUUGCUGCCCCCACCACCACGUCGAGCCGCGGGUAAGCCAAGAGUACGGCUACCGCGGCCCUGGGGAACCUCAUCUCCCCGAAGGUACUCUGAGUAUAUGCUCAGAUCUGCGUACUCCUCAGCCUGGGAGUUGAGGUUCAAGUUCUCCAAGCCGUGACGGGGGGCACUGGAAGACUCGGACUGAGAGAAAAAAUCGAUUUGGCAGGGGGGAAUUUGUGGAUCGGGCUGGGGGAACAAAUCCUCCAAUCCGUCGUCGCCGUUGCCCGCCAUUAGGAAACGACGGAACUCAAGAACGGCGGAGGACUGGAGGGGUUGAGGAAACCCGGGAUCUUGUGGGGAUGGCGGCGGGGAAAUAGGGAUGAGGCGGCGAGGGAACCAGGCGGCGGGGAAAUGGGGAGGACGCGGCGGGGAACUGGGGAGGAGGCGUCAGGCAAAUGGGAACGAGGCGCCGAGGGAAGGAGGCGGCGGCGAAAUGGGGAGGAGGCGGGGAAAUGGAGACGAGGCGGCGGCCAAAUGGGGAGGAGGCGGCGAGGGAAGGAGGCGGCGGCGACCGGAGGAGGCGACGGCCGGAUGAGAUGGCGGCGGGGAAAGGUGGACGAGGCGGCGAGAGUAGGAGGUGGCGGCCAAGGGAGGAGAGGGCGGCAGCGUAGAUCCGGCCUCGGAAGGGGAUGGCGGCGGCGGAAGAAGUACGGGGAGGGCGGAGGGAGGAGGAGGCAGCGGCGGAGGGAGGAGGAGGCGGCGCAGAUGCGCUGUGCGGGAGGAGGAGGCGGCGCAGAUGGGCAGUGCGGGAGAAGAGCGGGGGAGGAUAGGGUGCGACCGUGCAUCCGUGGAGAGAGAAGGGGAGGGGUAGGAGGGGUAAAGGUUGGGUUGGGGACCACUUUUAUGAGAAAAAUGAAAGUUUAUGAUGGUUUGAUCCUCCUAAUGAAAACAGCACCCCUAAAGUUUAUGAAUACACUUUUAUGACACCAGUUUGGAUGCACAAGUUCUAAAAAUGACCUAAAAGUGAAGUCCUAAAGUUUACGAUGUGGUAUCCAAACAGGCCCUAAUCACCAGUCCCAAACACGCACAGGCAUCUCGGCACCACCGAAGCCUCGAGCCCGCCCCCCCUCCCCAACCCCCACCCGUGGCCUGCGCCGCGCCGCGGCGACCGGCCAUGUCCAUCGACUACCUCGUGCUAGGUACGCGGCGCCCGCCUCUAACACCGUUCGGGUGGAUGCAGGGGCGGGUCAGGAUGUGGGGAAGAGCUGAGUGGUGGCGACCAUCGGUGGGCGGCGCGUCAUGUUUGACUGCGGCGUGCACUUGUCCUACAAGGGCCGGCGCAGCUACCCGGAAUUCGACCGGGUCCUCGCGGCCUCCGGGGCCACCGACUUCACCACCGCCAUCUCCUGCGUCGUCAUCGCCCACUCGUGAGUGUGGCAUUUUCCUCCUCCCUCCCCUGGCGGUUUUCCGUAGGCUGCUAAGCUUCCCCUUAAUUUGCAGCCAUUUGGAUCAUAUCGGGGCGCUUCCCUACUUCACCGAGUUCUGCGGGUACCAUGGCCCCAUCUACAUGACGGUGAGCGCAGACUACUUUGUAAUCGUUGUUUGGAUUAUAGCUAGAACAAUUGUUUUGAUUUUGAUUCAAGUAAAUUGGGAUUCACCUUAGUUCAGUUUUAUUCCCCCCUUCUUUUGGUCAGCAAACUAGUCAGCUACCAAUUAAUAAUGUUGUGAGCUCACAAAAGUCACUGUUAAGUGCUUGCUGGUAAGUCCUUAUGUUAGAUGUCUUUGUUGCUUAUGAGCUGAAGACCCUGGGACAUCGUGAGUUGGUUUUGGUAGAUUUGAUGAUUUUUGUCAAAUUUCACCAAGGAAAUUAUCUUAAACUGAAGUAUCCUUCACUAUUAGCUCAUAUGCUUGGACUGGUCUCUUCUUUGGUCUCUCCUGUUCUUGUACCAAGGAUUUAUAUCUCUUCAUGAGUGAUCUUCCAUAACUUCUUUCAUGGUGCCUCUCAAACAGUACCCAACAAAGGCUUUAGCUCCAAUGAUACUGGAAGAUUUUCGGAAAGUAAUGGUUGUUCAGCAAUGGGAGGAAGGGCAAUAUAGUUAUGAGGAUAUUCUCAGGUGUAUGAAGAAAGGUAACCUUAAUUAAGGCUGGGAUUUCUAUCAUUGGUGUAGUUAAAAAGUUCUAGCAAGAAGCAGACUGUUCAAGUAUGAUAGUGCUAUUUUCCUUAUAUUUUGACCUUGCAGUUAUACCAUUGGACCUGAAGCAGACUGUUCAAGUAGAUUAGGACCUUGUGAUCCGUGCCUAUUAUGCUGGACAUGUAUGCUUCUUUAUUGUCUCAUGUUCUGUUUAUUGUACUUUAGAUUAUUUGAGUUGAAGUAUUGAUUUAGUUCUCCACUUUCUAAUCUAGUAAAACCGUCAUUCCAAAUUCAAGGUCCUAGGGGCUGUCAUGAUUUAUGCAAAAGUUGGAGAUGCUGCUAGGUCUACACUGGAGAUUACAAUAUGACAUGAGAUAGACAUCUUGGUGCAGCGCAAAUUGAUCGUCUAAAAUUGGAUCUUUUGAUAACAGAGUAUAGUCCAAACUCCAAUUAUUAGCAUAUUUCCUAUUUGAUUGUUGCCUGAUUUUUGAUUAAGUAUUGUGAAUCAUGCUGCAAUUUCUUAUACGUUAGCACUACAUUAGAGUAUGUUUGUUCUUUUUUUAAAAAAAAAUCAUUAUGUGGUUGCCUUGUUGAUAUCAGAUCACAGGAACAGGUUUCCAGAUCGGUACCCAUCUGUGGACCAUUGUCCCUGUUGCUAGCUAAAUUGUUCACCUGAAAAUCAUUUGGAAUAUAGCUGUAAUAACUAUAUUUAUUACUUAUUACGUUGUUGAAUUCAGUUUCUGGUGUUAAAACGAUGAUUUGCAUUUGUUUUAUGGUACAACACGUGUGGUUUCUCAAUGUUUUUAAUCAUGUUAAUGAGAUUAAGAGCACAAUGGUGUGGAUUCUUUUUUUUUUCUAUGUAUACUAUUAAGUAUAUAGUUGUUUUUUUUCUUUCUUCACUUCUGCAGAUCCACAUAUGCUGAAACUACACGUGAUUCAAGGCGUGCUCGAGAGAGUGAAUUCUUACAAGCGGUAUGUAAACGGCAAACCUGACUUUCCAUUAUGCCGAUACACUUGGUUUUGUAGAUUUAGUUGCAUUUAUUAUUUUAACUGUUGUGUAGAUUUUGUAUUUGCAUGCUUAAUUACUUUUCUUCUAGCACAAUACCAUCCAAGAAGUUAAUUUUCACCAAAUUAAGUGCAAUUUGUAAUUUGUCAUAGGAUACAUCUUUGUUUUUAUCUGACACCUUAGACCACAAAAUAUUCAUCUUGACUGUACUAUACAGUUAUUCUGUGAAUCUGCGCAUCAUGCUUUUUUUGGAGGAAGUUGAGAGGGGUGAACCCUACCUAUUUUCAUUAAAACACAUACAUAGAAUUUGUCUACACUACUUUACUUCCAUCCCUUAACUAUGUAUUUUCUAUAGGUCCAUAAAUGUGUUUCUGGAGGCGGUAAAGUUCUAAUUCCAUUAUUUUCUGUGGGAAGAGCUCAGGUACUCUAGUUAUCUCUAUAAUUUGAGGGAUAUAAAGUGAUGAUGAACUAUUAUCACUGUUUCACUUAUUGAUCAAGUCCCUUCUAACAAUACUGUCACCUGGGGCACACUGUUUUGAAUUUUCUUAAAUAGAGUAUCCAUUUAGGAUUGACACAGUCCUAUUAUGUAUCUCAGGAGCUAUGCAUGUUACUCUAUGACUAUUGGGAGAGAAUGAACUGGAAGAUUCCUAUGUAUGUCAACUUUUGUUAAAUUUUAACUUGAUUUUAUGUAUUUUCUGCUUUGAUGACGUCAUGUUUGUCCUGUAGGUUUAACCGUACAAUCUAACGUGUACUACAAGAUGCUUAUUGGAUGGACUAGUCAGAAGAUCAAAGACAGCUACAGAGUGCAUAACCCCUUUGACUUCAAGCAUGGUAUGAACUAUGGUUCAGGUCUUUAAAAGCUAUACUCUGUUCAAUCCUAUGCAGACUAAAGAGGAGAAAGAAAAUUCAAACAGUUAGACCUGUGUGCUUUUACUCAUUUUUGUUUUUUUAAGGAUGGAUAUUUAGUUUACCAUGGUGGCAACCUUAGUUUAAUCAUGAGACAUUCAAUGUUUCAUUUAAUCUUAAAAACUCGACCGGCGAGGGAAUGUUUCAUUUAAUCUUACAUAGUUAUAUCAGAAUAACAUUAUUUUUUUUCCCACAUUGCAGUUUGUCACUUUGAGCGUUCCUUCACUGACAACCCUGGUCCAUGUGUACUUUUUGCAACUCCUGGUAUGAUCAGUACCGGUGGUGGAUUUUCUCAUGAGGUGUUUAAAAAAUGGGCGCUGUCAGAAAAAAAUCUGGUUACACUUGCAGGGUAUAUCCCUUAGCUUUCUUAUUUCUUCCAUAUUUUUCUGAUUUUAUUAGAAACUAUAUCUUUUUCUCAUAAAAUCGUUCUCGUUCAUGCUGAUGAACUGUAUCCAACAUGUUGUGCUAACUAUAUUAUGUUCUGAUGCCACCUUUUUUUUCCUGAUGGAGGUAUUGUGCUCCCAGAAGCAUUGGUCAUAAGUUGAUGUCUGGCAAACCUGAAAAGAUUGAUUUAGAGGACACCCAUAUUGAUGUCAGAUGUCAGGUUGCUCUUCAAUUCAGUUUAUACUUUUUGAAAUAUUGUAAAUUUUUUAAAUAAUAAUGAAGGAGGGGGUAAAAAAGGCCAAUGCACUUUGUCUAAACGAGCGAUUUUCUCAUUCGAUGGUAAUGUUUUGUUAGCCAGGGAAAAACUUACCCAUUCACUAUAUCAUUUCAGAUGUUCAACAUAAUUGCUCUAUAGAGGACAGACAUAGUCAAAGGCUUGGGCUUUUUGCGGAAGUUCAUUGGCAUCUGUUGUUUCUCACAUGCAUGUUACUGUCCCAUUAAUAUCCAUUUAUCUUAUCUGAUUCUCUGAAUUAUUUGAAUUUGGGUAGCCAACUUCUCCAUCUAUUUUCACUUCUCGUAUGCUAUCACUUGACACUGCGUUCUUUUCCUUUGCAUGCCAGGUCCAUCAACUAGCAUUCAGUCCGCACACUGACUCCAUAGGGAUCAUGGACCUUAUAGAGUUCCUUUCACCCAAACAUGUAAUUCUCGUUCAUGGUGAAAAGCCUUUGAUGGCUUUCCUGAAGGAGAGGGUCGAAUCUGAAUUGGGGAUGCCAUGCUAUUACCCAGCUAACAACGAGGCCGUCUCCAUUCUGACAACCCAGAACCACAAAAUUAGUGCCACAGAAAGGUUCAUUACAAGCUGUGCUGGUGAGCAAACUGAAGACAAUCUGCGAAAGCGGAAGCUAAUUUGUGGAAGCAAUAUUUCAGAUGCCAAUGGCGAUCGAAAGCUAGCUGAGGGUAUCCUUCUGAUGGAGAAGAACAAGGCUUCGAAAAUUCUGUGCGAGGACGAGCUUGUUCAGGUGCUGGGCAUGGAGCAGCACAUUGUCCAGUAUGAACCAAUGGUCUCCUCCAGAAUUGCAGCAGCUGGCGAGUUGGAAUUGCAGCAGCUAGCAGGCCGAGGCCAGGGAAUGCAGCCGAUUUAGGGUGGGAAGGAAAAUGAAUGAAAUUGUACAUGCUGAGAUUCUGGCCGUGCUUCCUUUUCUUUUCUGCAAAUGAUUAGACCGUUGUACAGAGCUAUAGAUUCUGUAAGACAAAUGCGUAUAUUACCCUGACAAUUCAAUGGUUAGAUUAAAAGUUUAAAUGUGACCUCUUGUUGCUUGACCCACCUUGUUCAUGCAUGAGGUAUAUUGGUAUAAUAAUGAUGGAUGAGAUAUAAUGAUGGCGCGAGGGGUUGGAGGAAAAUGGGUACUAGUUCUUCGUUUCUUCGUUUUAAACUGCCGUAGGUUUGCAAGGCCAACUCACUGCAGGAAAAACAAAUCAGAAGUGCCGAGCAAAAACGCAGGACACAAGGAGUGGUCACAGGGUGGACAUUGGUUGGGAUGAGGUAAUACCCGUCCAGCAACAUAAAAGUAACAACACUUGCCCGGAGCUCAGUACCUCCCAAACAAUGAGUCAAUGACACAACCCAAAUAUGAUUCGCAAACAACCUGAAGCCCGCACGCUAGAAUUUUAGUGAGGUGACUUAAUCAAUGGUUUACUAAUCAUGUCUUCGAUCUUGAGGCUCUCAGGUGGUGACAACCCAAACAACACAAAUACGAUUGAGUAUUUGGGUGGUUGCCUGGUUGGUCAGAGUGAUUCAAUGCAGGGAGUAGGAAAACAUUUGCAAAAGCUCACUACAUACACUUGCAACAAAGAAACUGUAAUGCAAAUAUACCUCUCAACCUGUAAUAGUAACAUGGGGAUGACGCUACAAACAAAUGCAUUUCAUCCAAAGAUAAACAUGCACAUUACUCCCUCUGAUCACAAUCAGCAAACAAAACAAAAUCAACAAAAUCAUGCUAUUCUACUCAGUACACUGAUCUCUUGCCACACAGCAGACGCGGUAAUGUCACAUCAUAUGAUAUAUCCCGCUGCACAUUGUACUGCUACUGCUGUCUGGUGUACUGCUACCCACCGCCCCAGCCCGUGUUGUUGCCUCAGAGCUUGAAAUCUCAGGUGUUUCUGUCCAGUUGGCAGGAUCAGCAGCAACAGCAUAAAGGCUGGACCUCAGAUCAAGCGUCAGGUUAACCUGCUUCACCAAAAGCUCCCUGACACAGCCCGGCAAGUGUUUUAGCAACGGGACGAAAUCGUCGUUUGUGUGGUCGAGAUCUCUAACCUCCAAGAAAACCGCGUAACCAUCCUGGAUCAGGGCCCCUUUGCUCGCCGCGUCAAGAAACGUGUCCCUCAGCUCGGUGAUCGGCUUCACCUGACCCAAGACCAUCUCUUCCGCCUUAAUCCCAGCACGCGUCUCCAGUUCCAGUCUCGAGAGGUAGAUCAGUAACAGUAUGUUCGCGCUCUGAACCCCGUUCAGAAUAUCCAGACCAGGUGAUGGAUCGACAUGGAACGUGGAAGGUUGUGGCUGUGGCUGUGGGUCGGAAGCAGCAACGGAUGCCAAGGAUGCGCCGGCUGACUCCUCGAGAGCUGAGGCGGCGUCGAUGUCGCCGUCGCCGGCAGCUGACGCCGCCGGCGAACCUGCGGUUGAUGCGCUUGUCCUGGGCCUCUUCUUCCGUCGCUCCCCUGCUUCGUCGACCUCCAUCUCUUCCUCUACUCUACGGCUGGCUAAACUCGUAGACCCUAGGUGGCGUGUAUGUAGCGGCGUCACCGUGACGACGGUCGGCGUGAUCGAACGGGUGCAGUUCGGAUUAGAUCAGCCAACACUACCGGGCUACGAUGCCUUCUUUGGGCUGGGUCUCCGAUUGAGUGAGGCGGGCCCAGUCAUCAUUACGCUGAGUGGCCCUCUGGCCCAAUUCCUUAGCCGGCCCAUACCCCUUCUCUGGCUGCUUCAUCUUGCACGGUUGCACCUGAAGAUAUUAUGUGAAAGCGGAAGCGAUCUCUGGAAGCUAUAUGUCAGAACUCAGAAGUCAGUGGUGAUUCGAAACUCGAAAGCUAGCCGAGAGCAUUCUUGUGAUGGUGGAGAACGGAGCUCUGAAAAUCCUGGGCGAGGAUGAGCUUGUUCAGGUGCUGGGCAUGGAGGCAUGGAGCGGCAUCUUGUCCAGUAUUAUGAACCAAUGGUCUCCUCCCCAAUCGCAGGAGCUGGUGAGUUGGAAUUGCAACAGCCAGAAGGACGAGACAGGGGAAUGCAGCAGAUUUAGGGAGAGGAGGAAAAUGAAUGAAGUUGUAUAUGCUGAGACUCUGGCCAUGGUUCCUUUUCUUUAUCUUGAAGGGGAAAGCUAAUUUGUGCUCGAGUGUUUCAGAGCUUUAUAUCAUUCGAUUUUUGCUGCUGCUGCCGCACCACGCGAUUAGACCCUGCAGCCAUCUUCCUCGACUACGGCGAGGCUCCGGCCAUCUUCCUCUACCACUGCAAGUCUCCGUCGACCAUGGCAGGUUAGUGUUUGUGGGUUUGGGGUGGGGGCUUCCAUGGAGCGACGGCUGUAGAAGGAGUCUCCGGCGGCAGGUUUGUCCGGCGGUGGUGGUGGGCGUGGGGCGGUGAGGCAAGGCGGCGGUGGCGCCGCCGGCCGGGCAGUGGUGGACAACCGGUGGGCGGGGUCGGGGCGCGGGCGGGGGCAAGGGCGACGACAACGGCGGCGGGGGUAAGCGGCGGCGGGAAGGGCAAGGCGGAGGUUGCCGCGGGCUGAGUAGGGUAUCGCCGGAGCUCGACGCCGGCGGCGGGGAGGAUAGCACUCGAUUUCUCGGCCGUCGGAUGAAGAUCGAACGCUUGUCCUGCUUCUUCUACCUUGAGCAGCAACGUGAGUCACGCCUGAGUCCUGACACCGUUCUUCUUCCCGAGCUUCCAUGCCCCGCCCCCGCCCCACGUGCCACUGCCCCCGCCGCGGGCUGAGUAGGAUGUUGCAACUUGCAAGACAAAGGUGCAUAUUACCCCCCGAAAUUUUAAUGGUUAGAUUUAAAUGUAAGCCCCUGUUGCCUGGCCCGCCUUGUUCGUGCGUGAGCUAGUGUAUGAUGGAUGAGAUACAUGAUAACGCGAGGGGUUAGUUGGAGGAAAAUGGGUACUCGUUUCUGUCGAGCGCACAGUACAGGCGAUCAGAAACGAGUCAUUGAAUCAAUAAAAGCGACGACCUUCGUUUUAAACUGCCUUGCCGCAGGAAAAACAAAUCAAAACUGCCGACCAGAAAAAAAACAAACAAACUGAAUUUCAAAUCGCAUGUCUCAGUAUCCUGUUUUUCAUUCUACUCUGAGCACACUGAUCUCUUGCCACACACUAGGAAACGAAGCUAUUACACCAAAAAGAAUUCUGGCAAACAGCAUAAGCGCAGCAGUGGCACAUUACUCCAUAUAUGUCCCGCUGCACAUUGUGCUUCUACCGCUGUCUGGCGUAGCACUGACCGGCGUACUGCUGCCUGACGUACCGCUGCCCACCGGCACCGUACGUGGUGUUCGCGAUCUUGAAACCUCAGGUGUUUUUAUCCAAUUGGCAGCGUCAGCAGCAACCACCAAAUAUCUGUGCCUCAGGUCAAAAAUCAGCAUAUCUUGCUCCAGCACAAGCUUCGAAACAUCGCAUGCCAUCCGGGAAGAAACCUGUAGCCAUCCGGAAAACCUCGUAGCCAUCCUGGACACGGGGCCCUUUGCCUAUUAUCGCAUGAAUAAACAUGGCGACCAGAUCGUCGAUCGGCUCCAUUUGGCUCACGAAGGUCUCUGCCGCCUUCGCUCCCGCGGGUGUUUUCAGUCCCCAGAGACGGAGCAGCAGUGUCAUGUUCCCGUUCCGAAUCCGGUUCGGGACGUCCAGACCAGGCCAUGGAUUGAUGGCCACGAGGCAUUGUGGGUGGGAAAAAGCAUCGGAGAUUUCAAGGAUGAGCCGGCGGAGUCCUCAGGAUCCGAGGCGUCGGCAGAGUCCUCAGGAUCUGAGGCGUCGUCGAUGUCGUCGCUGGCAGCAGACGCCGACGACAAACUUGCGCACGGUGUCCUUGGCCUCUUGCGCCGUCUCUCCCCUGCUUCGUCGACCUCCAUCUCUUCCUCGGUGGCCAUGGUGAUACGAGAGAAUGGCAGAAAUCGUGUAUACCCUAGACGGGCGUGGUAUGUGGCGGCGUCCACCGUGGUUACAUACGGUCGUGGUUAUAUGUAGCGGCGUGAUCGAACGGGUAUAGUUCGGACUUCGGACUGGAUCAGCCGAGAUUUACCGGGCUGUGCGUCUGUGCCUCUUGGGUUGGGCCGCCAUGUCAAUCCGAUUGGGUUGGGCUGCCAACGGCCCUUGUGUGUCAGUCUGGUUGGGUUGGGCCCACCGGUGGAAAAAACGACCUACCAUCCUUAGAAAAAAAUCUAGGUUGUUUUUUGACCGGGACUAAAGAAGAUUUAGUCCCAGAUCUAAAUUUCCACCUCCGGUUGAUGUUACAAACUGGACUAAAGUCUCUGAGGGCAACCGGGACUAAAGGGUUACCAACCAGGAUUAAAGGAUUCCCACGAGUUACUGCAAAAGGAUUGCAUUCUCUACUCAGUCAGAUGUGCUGUAUAGGUGAGAUAGUAAGGAAGCUAUGCGUGAGGCUUGAGGUCAUGGGUUCGAAUCUCAUGCACCGCGCACGCGCAUAUUUCAUGUCAAAAAUUGCGUGACAUGUGACUUGUUUGUGUGUGGAAACCUCCAGUACUAUUGCUCAUUUCUCUACCAAUGGCCACCAAUAACCCUUGUACUUUAGGAGGGAGGGUAUGAAAACCGCAAAACCAUCUUGGACGAGGAUCCAUUUGCUUACUGCAUCGAGGUCCCUCAGCUCUAAAGAUGGUAAUAGGCAAAAUGCUCGUGGAUACAGCCCGUGCCCUCCACCCGCCAUGGGCAACCAAGCUUGCCCACGCCCUCCAUCCGAGUGCCUGACAUCAGUCCCAUGGAAGGCUUGCACUCGAGAGCUACUAGGGAUUACCAUUUGCAGAUGCAUGUCAACACAUUAGUGACACAAAUCAACACUCUAGCUUGCAAGAAGGCUGCCCAACUAUGUCUAGUUUACAAAAUUAGUUGAACCAUUAAAGUGAAUGACAUAAAUUACCAACAUCACUAGCAGACUGAACCACAAACAGAAGCGCAAAGCGUCACUCCUAGAUCUGGACAUCCACCAAGGAGCAGAGGUUGCUGCUGAAUGGAGGAAGGCCACCGGCCAGAGGAAGGCUUCGGGGAGGGAUGAGGCUUGAUGGUAGUUAAGGGCUGGCGUUGAUGCAGACUUGCAGAGGAUUUGGGUGUCUAGGACUCGGGGGCAGGUGGCCGGCCGGCGGGAGGAGGGUAGCUUGGAUGGGUGGCGGUGGUCAUGCAGGGGCACUCCUAGCUUGCGACUUCUCAUGUAGCGCGAGUGCCGAGCGCGGCGUGACGGGAGAGGAGUGGGCGGCGGCGGGGACAGGGGUCGGUCGGGGGUGGCCGGGUGUGGAUUGGAAUAAGGGAGAGGAACUUUAAGAUUUGUGUAUACAUAUUCACUCACGUCAGACCUGUGGAGCGGGUAUGCGGCGAAUAUAGCAAUUUUCUUUGCCCGCGCGAACAACUAUCCUAUGGGUGCUUGCACCCAUGCCCAUGGGCUAGGAAAUGACACCCAUGCCGCAUCGGGUUCCAUGCUUGCAGGCACGUGGGCAUUAUGUGCCCGUUGCCAUCUUUACUCAGCUCGGUGAUCGUCUCAACCUGACCCAACGCCAACACCACCUCCAUCGCCCUCGCUCCGGCAGGUGUCUUUUAAUCUCGAGUGGUCGAUCAGUAAUGCCGUGUUGGCGCUCUGGAUCCAGUAACCGAUGCUGGAUUGACGCGGAGCAUGGAGGGCUGUGGCUGUGGCUGUGGGUGGAAAGAAGCAUGAGAUGUAAGGAUGCGUAGUCGGCAGAGUCCUCAGGAUCUAAGCUGCCGUCAAUGUCGUUGCUAGCGGCAGACACCGGCAAACUUGUGCCCUUGGUCCUCGGCCUCUUCUUUGGUCUCUCCCCUGCUUCGCCCAUCUCCUCCAUCUCUUCCUCUCCAUCGUCGGUUUUAGAUGAGGUCAUGAUUAUGGGCCUGUUUGGCUACACUCCACUCCAAAUUUUUGAGCUCCACUCCACCAACUCCACCACAUUGUAUCUCCACUCUACCAACUCCAAAAAAAUACCAGAGUUGUCCACAUGUUUGGCAAAAUGUACAGAUCCAGCUCUGGAAACAGAAGGUCUUGUUGUGUAAAUCCAUUAUACCCAUGUGAAUGGGUCCCACUUAUCAGUCUCCUUUAGUUCUCCCCUUCUUCUCCUUUGCUGGCAGGGGCGGCGCGGCGGGCAGGGGCGGGUGGCACGCGGCGGGCAGGGGCGAUGCGGCGAGCAGGGGCGGUGCGGCAGGCAGGGGUGGGCGGCGCGGUGGGCACGACCGACCGCGGUGGAAGGCAGGGGCGACGCAGUGGGCAGGGUGGGAGGGGGCGACGGGAGGAUUCUUUUUGUUUCGCGAACCAGUAAGUUGUGUAAUGAGUGGUAAUGGUGGGUAAAUACCCACCAACUCCACGAGGAGGUCUAUAAAGGAGUUUUUGGAGCAGCUCUUGAGGUACUCAAAAAAACGUGGAUCUACCCUCCCGCUCCACCUUUUUUCUGGAGUCGGAGUUGCUGGAGCUAGACACGUUUGGCUGUGAAAUUUUUAGAGUUGGUGGAGUGGAACAAUUUUUCAUGGUGUGGAGUGCUCCAUCACACAGCGGCGUGAUUUAACGGGUACAGUGUCCGACUUCGGAUUGGAUCAGCCGAGACUUACCGGGCCUCUUGGGUUGGGCCGCCAACAGCCUUGUUGCCUGUCAGCCCGAUUGAAUCAGCGGCGGCAACCCGCCCGGGCGGCGCCGCACAUUACAGCCCGUCUCUUGGUCUCGCGCGCGUCCGCCCUCCGCCGCCAACCCCCCGCCGUCGGCCAUCGGUCCGCCGCCGCGGCAACCGGCGGUGCCCGCCGCACUGAGGCCGACCCGCAUCCCUGGCGCCGCGCCUCACAUAUCAGAGCACACGCAUCGAUUCGAUUCCCAUCUAAGCCUUCGGUCCCCGCGCGGUGCCACGGCGGCGGCGGCGAGCCAUGGCAAUCGAGUGCCUCGUGCUAGGUACGCGGCAGCGCCCCCUCUCUUUCUCCCUCCCUCGCUCCUCCAAAGCCCCGGCUCGAUUACAACCACUCUAACGCUGCGCCGUGCUGGGUUGCGAGUGCAGGGGCGGGGCAGGAGGUGGGGAAGAGCUGCGUGGUGGCGACCAUCGCCGGGAAGCGGGUCAUGUUCGACUGCGGCAUGCACAUGGGCUACCACGACCGCCGCCACUACCCGGACUUCGCGCGCGCUCUUGCCGCCUGGGGCGCGCUGGAUUUCACCAGCGCCCUCUCCUGUGUCGUCAUCACGCACUUGUGAGUAUUAUGUAGAUAAUAAAUGUUUUACCCUGUCCUCUUUUUUUUUUUCGCUGGCGAUUUUCUUCAACUUUCUGGUUUGAUUGGUUACCGACUGAAGAAGCUCGCGCCCUGCAGCCACUUGGAUCAUAUUGGGGCGCUGCCCUACUUCACUGAGGUCUGCGGGUACCACGGCCCCAUCUACAUGACGGUGAGCUCCGACGAAUAUUCAGAUUGUUGUUUGGGUAUGUCAGUUAUUUUCUGUAAGUAAAUUGACUUUAAGUUGGAUCGAUUUGUUGAACUUUGGAUUAUACUGCUUCUGAGCUAGGCAGUACUGCUAAUUGCCACUCGUGAUACUAUCAUACUGUGGUAAGGUCCAAUGUACAAAAUGUACUGCUUGCUUGAAUCUCAGAAAAUUGCUAUCUGUGUUCCAGCUGUGUCAAUUGGGAGUUGGGUAAAAUCAGCGAUUUUUCCAUCCUUGAUUUGAGCAGGCACAGAUAAUGAUCUUGCAUUAUUAGCUCAUAUGCUUGGGUCUUUGUCUUCCUUGGUUUCCCCUGUUCUUAUAUGAGAAGCAUCUAUAUUUCUUGAUGAUUGAUAUUCACCCACCCCAUAACUUCUUUCAUGUUUUCUCAAGCAGUAUCCUACAAAGGCUUUAGCUCCAUUUAUGCUGGAGGAUUAUCGGAAAGUAACGAUGGAUCAGAGAGGGGAGGCAGAGCAAUAUAGCUAUGAAGAUAUUCUUAGGUGUAUGAAGAAAGGUAACCUUAGUCAACUUUGCAAUUUUUAUUGCCUUCCUAUUUACAAACUGAUGCUGAUGCAGAAGUAGGCAUAUAUCAUAAUUCUCUUUUGCCUGACAUACUUGACCUUUCAGUCAUACCCUUGGACUUGAAGCAGACUGUUCAAGUAGAUAAAGACCUUGUGAUUCGUGCAUAUUAUGCUGGACAUGUAUGUUCCUUGGUACUUUUUUACCAUUCCAUAUUAUGUUUGUGUUCUGUAAAUUCUUUGAAAUGAAGUAUUGAUUUAGUUCUCUGCUUUCUAAUCUAGUAAAACCAUCAUUCCAAACUCAAGGUUCUAGGGGCUGCCAUGAUUUAUGCAAAAGCUGGAGAUGCUGCUAUGGUCUACACCGGAGAUUACAAUAUGACACCAGAUAGACAUCUUGGGGCUGCACAAAUCGAUCGUCUCAAAUUGGAUCUCUUGAUAACAGAGUAUUGUCCAACCUCCAACUAUAAACAUGUUUUUUUCUAUUUGGUGGUUCCCUUUACUUGGAUUUUUAACCACAUGUUGUUAUGAAUUAUGCUGCAUUACAUCCAUAGGCUCUUUCUUAUGUGUUCCCACCAUAGGGGCAAGGGGGCAUCUUGUUUGACUUUUCAUUGUGUGAUUGCAUUUUUUUUUUGAGGAAUGUGAUUGCAUUUGUUGAUAUCAGGUCUUGGGAACAUGCUGCAGACUGGUAACCUCUAUGGACUUAUUGCUUGGGUCCUGUUGUUAGCCAGUGUGUUCACCUGACAUCAUUUAGGAUAUUGCUGUGAAUCAUCUAUAUAGUCGGCUAUUACUCAUUACUUGUUAUUUGUUGAAUGUAGUUUUUGAUACUACAACAGAGUACAUUGAAUCUGCAUUCGUUUUAGGAUUGUGCUGGCAUCUUAAUGUUGUACUGUUAUAUAAUCAAGCUAAGAGCACAAUUGGCGUGCUGAGUAUUUUUUUUUGUAUACAUCAUGAAGUAGUAAAUAGCAUUGUUCUUUGUGCAGGUCCACAUAUGCUAAAACUAUACGUGAUUCGAAGCAUGCCCGAGAGAGGGAGUUCCUAAAAGCGGUAUGAACAUGUGAACUUUUAUGCUGCCAAUGUAGAGAUUUGGUAAUUUUUAGUUGCAUGUGUAGCAACAAUUGCUUUUGCAAUGGUCGACUGUUAAGUUUUGAUUGUACAUGCUUAGGUUCUUCUGGCACAAUACAAUAUAGGAAGUGUGUCGACUUUUUUUUUAAUCCUACAACCAUGGUUUUUGAGUUGUUGUGGCCUCCUGUGGUGUUGGGGACACGCCUGGAUGCUGAGAUGGCAUCUAGGUGACAAGUCAUUAGGACCUUGUGGUGUUAGGGGCACGCCUGGAUGCCUAGGCAAUGGUGCAAUGCCUUAAAAACCAUAACUACGAUCUUUGGCAAAAAAAAAAAAAUUCUUACUGUAUUAAUCCAAAUCCUAUGCAUUGUACAUUGGUUGAGUUUCAAGGCUUAACUGAAUAUAUGUUUUCUCUAGGUACAUAAAUGUGUUUCUGGAGGGGGUAAAGUUCUGAUUCCGACAUUUGCUCUGGGAAGAGCUCAGGUGCCCUAGUUCUCUCUUAACACAACUUUAUGAGACAAAAUCAUGACUGACUAUUACCCCCAUUUUGCUUAAAUGAGCAAGUUCCUCUGAGAAGUACUGUACCUAUGGGCACACUAUUCACAGUCUUCAUAAAUUAAAUGUCUAUUUAGGAGUGACACUGUCCUGUUGUGUAUUUCAGGAGCUAUGUAUGUUACUGGAUGACUAUUGGGAGAGGAUGAACUUGAAGAUUCCUAUUUACUUCUCAGCUGGUAUAUGUGGUUUCUUGAAAAUUGAAGCCUUAAUCUUCUUUUUUUUGUAUUUUCUUCUUUUUGUGAAGUUAUGUUUGUUGAUAUUUCUAUAGGUUUAACCAUUCAAGCUAACAUGUACUACAAGAUGCUUAUCGGAUGGACCAGCCAAAAGAUCAAGGAUAGUCAUGCAGUGCAUAAUUCAUUUGACUUCAAGCAUGGUAUGGUUGGGUUCUUCAAAAGCUAAUCCAUCCAAUCCUAUGCAGAAUAAAGAUAAAGUGCAUAUGAUUGUGUUAAAGAUCUAAAUAUUCAGUAGACCAUUAAAUAAACUUGCAGUUUAUCUUUUGCAUUUUGUUACAAUUUGUAACUGUGCAACACCAAUUGAAUAUUGUGUGCUUCUACUCAUUUUAAUGUUUCUUUAAUGAAAUAUAUUUUUAGUCAAUCAUGAUACUGAGAAUAAUUUUUGCUAUUUCAAUUUAAAAUAGGAAAUGUUCUAUCCUUUUUUGUUGUUCUCUUAUGCAUCCUCCAACAAUGCUACUUCAGCUAGCUCGUAUGAAUCCACCUCAUCACUUUGCUUACAUGGAAGAGAGAGAAGGUGAGGAGAGAGAAUGUACUAUCUCUUCUUCAAGAGGUAGCUCAUAGAGAAAGUGGCCUCCACACUUUAUUGAUGAGAGAGGUGUUGUAGGACCCAAAAUAAUUUGAGCAAUGUGCUAGGAGAUAAACCAUUGGAGAUAUAAUCUUUUUGCUAUCUCUUAUGUGAGAUGGAGAAGCUUUGAGCUAGUGUAUUAGCUCAACCAUUGGAGGCGGCCUUAUACCAGAAUAACACAGAAGCUUUUUUGUUUAACAUUUCAGUUUGCCACUUUGAGCGUUCAUUCAUCAACAACCCUGGUCCCUGUGUACUUUUUGCAACACCUGGGAUGAUUAGUGGUGGAUUUUCCCUUGAGGCAUUUAAGAAAUGGGCGCCAUCAGAGAAGAAUCUGAUUACACUUCCAGGGUAUACUCCAUACCUUUCUUGUUUCCAACAUUUUUUCUAGUAUGGUAAAUCACUCUUAUUCAUACUGGCAACCUUUACCCUAUAUGCCACCUUUCUAUUUCCCACAUGCAGUUAUUGUGUUGCUGGAACCGUUGGUCAUAAGUUGAUGUCUGGGAAAACUACGAAGAUUGUUUUAGACAAGGACACCCAUAUUGAUGUCAGAUGUCAGGUUGCUUUUCACCUCAUUUUAUAUGUUAUGAAAAAUUGUACAAUUUUAAAUUAAUAAUGUUAGGUGUCAAGGAAAUUGUUAAGCAGAAGGAAAUCUUUUAAUGGCUAGUGUUUGGCUUACUCUUCUGAAUAUACUCAAACUUGAUAAUUAAUCCCUGCUGUUCUUUUCACUUCUGAUAUGCUAUGCCCUCACUGAGUUGUUUUUCUUCUUUAAUUUGUGCACCAGAUCCAUCAGCUAGCAUUCAGUCCUCACACAGACUCCAAAGGGAUCAUGGAUCUGACUGAAUUUCUUUCACCCAAACAUGUAAUUCUUGUCCAUGGUGAAAAGCCUCAGAUGGCUUUCUUGAAGGAGAGGAUCGAAUCUGAAUUGGGGAUGCCGUGCUUUUAUCCAGCUAACAAUGAGUCUGUCUCCAUACCAACAACCCAUACUCUCAAAAUGAGCACCACCGAGAGGUUCAUUACAAGCUGUGCUGCUGAGCAAGGUAAACAGAGCCUGCGGAAGCGGAAUCUGAUUCAUGGUACUGGUGCGUCAGAAGUGAAUGGCAGUGAUGAGGCUGCUGCGGAGGGUGUUCUGGUGAUGGAGAAACACAAGGCUCCAAAGAUUUUGUGUGAGGAUGAGCUUCUCCAGGUGCUGGGCAUGGAGCGUCAUCUUGUCCAGUUUGAAGCAAUGGGCUCCUCUAGAAUUGAAGCGGCUGUUGAAUGGGAGCUGAAGCGGGCCGAGGCAGCCGAUUUAGGUAGUGAGGAAAAUGAGUGAAACUGUACAUGCUGUAAUUUUCAAUUAUUUUCACCUUUUCUUUCUUGGAAAUACUCGGAAUGUUAUACACAUGGUCAUUGGGAGAGAAGCACACCACCGAAUUGUAACUUGAGUGGCAACAAAUUUUGGUACCUCCCUUGGGUGUGUUGUAUAUUAUCCUCAGAAUUCAUUGGUUAAAUCUGUGCUCCUGCUGCUUGAGCAACCUUCCUGAUGCAUAAUGCAUUCGCCCAAAAAAAGAAAAAACCUUCCUGAUGCAUGAGCUAGUGCAGGACAGGAUGGGAUGAUACAUGAUGAACCGGUUAUUUCUGUCAAGAGCGCCGUACAGGGUAUCUGUAACGAGUCGUAAAAUGAUUUCAAGCAACGUCAAGGUCAAGAGCAAGGCACUUUUUAAACUGCAGCAGAUUGCUUCCGUGCAAGAUCGUUGGUCAUGCGCGUGGCCGAUCAGUGCAAGUUUCGACUGAUGUUGCCGUCCUGUGUUCCUGAAUGCUGAACAAGUCCAACUUCAGUCAUACACUCCGUAGCUCAGAAUUCCAAACCACCUUUUUCUCUAGGAUUUAUGCAUGGAACAAUCAAGUAGUCGUCAGUCCACUCUCGGAAUGUUGAAACUGGACCGUGAUCUGUGUACUGCAUAAAGACUUUGCAUCUGACGUGAAUAUGUAACCGGGAUUAUGCAUGCUUGCAUAAACCAGCUGGUUGCGUCAGUCUAAUCCGUCAAAAACGUUUUCUUCAUCCUCACGCGGCAAUGCCGCUGAAGUUAACAUCGUCAGCUACUCAGCUGGCUGGCUCAGCAAUCGAUCGUCUCCAUCUGAACGAUGGGUUAGCUCGCUGCAUGCCUAUAAGUAGACUUCAUGGCUUCGAGCUUUAGACGCACAACAACCUGUUAUACUCUCAGCUGCUCGAGCCUUGAGCUAAUCAGCAUUCAGAAAGGCUGCUCGAGAUCUAGCUUAUUAGCUUGCUGCACGAUCAAGAUGAAGGGAGGAGUGAGAGGAAGAGGUGCGGCUGGAGCUGCGGCGGCGCUGCUUGCGCUGCUGCUCGUCGCAGCGUCGUCGGUGCAUGCCGAUGCCGCGGCAGCACCGGCACGGCGCCUGCUAGGAGCUGAUGGCGCCACCAUGCAGCCGUUGGCGGCGGCGGCGCCGCCACCACCGCAGGUUUCCGUCAGCAAAGCCGCAGGGUCUUGCGGCACGAACGACCCAAACAUUUCUUGCCCUCCGCCACCGCCCGCGCCAUAGCAAGCUAUAGAUAACUAGCUAUACCUACACGUGCAUACACUCUUCCUGCAUAUAAGCAUGGAUUUUUUCGUCCAAAGGAUUUGUUUAGCUUGGAUAAGUUUAUUGUUUGUAGGCUGGCAGGAAGUGACCUCGAAUACUUUAUUUGUAAGAAGUGGAUAAUAAUUUGUUCAUUUGGAUUAUAUUGUUACACCAGUUGUCUUGUAAUAUACAAAGAGCAAUCAGCUAUCGAUUUGGUUUAACUACUGGGCAGUGGGCAUAUGAUAUCUUCUGUGUGGAUCGGUUGAGUGGAUUGAUAUGCUGCUCUGCUUUGCUAUACUGUUUUACAAACAAGCUAAUCUUUUACGAAACACAAUAUGAAGUACACAUUUUUAUACUCUCUUAAACGAAAUUUGUAUUAAACCUUGUAGAGAUGGAACUGCGUGAAACCACGCCUAAUAUAUAUAAAUCGUCUGAGUUCAAAGACCGGUUAUACGUUGUGUUCAUCACUCACACGGGGGACAAUAUGGGCUCAACUGCAUCUCUACCUAGGCCCAUUAUGUCUAAAGAAAAAAAACAAGAAAUAGACAUUGUGGUCAAACCGAAUGCCAACUCAGCGGAUCGGUUGACUUGACCCUAACUGAUGGAUAGGUCAAGGGUGUUUGGAUUGUUAGUCUAGACUAAAAUUCAUGUCACAUCGAAUAUUCAUAUUUGGAGGUUAAUUAGAAAGACUAAAUAUAAGCUAAUUAUAAUAAUUAUAAAAUUAAUUACACAGAUGAAGGCUAAUUCCUGAGACAAAUCUAUUAAGCCUAAUUAAUCCAUCAUUAGCACAUGUUUACUGUAGCACCAUAUUGUCAAAUCAUGGAUUAAUUAGGCUUAAUAGAUUCGUCUUGCAAAUUAGCUUCCAUCUAUACAAUUGGUUUUUGUAAUUAGUCUAUGUUUAAUACUUCUAAUUAAUAUCUAAAUAUUUGAUGUGAUAGAAAUUUUAGGAGAUCCUAUAAAACAAACGGGCCUAAAGAAAGCUCAAAGUCAAUCCACGGGUUUCUUUUGGUAUGGAAUGUCUUAGCCGCGAAGCUUCACUGGCAGACUGCCUGCAGCCUGCAGGGACCACUGUCGUUUGAAUCAAGUAGUCAGCAAUAAGUGCUGCUGCAAACUAGACCGCUAGCUGCAAGCUGAAAGUUCUUCAGUUCUAAUUUAUAUGGGAAUUCUAAACUUGAAAGUUCUUCAGUUCUAAUCUAUAUGGGAAUUCUGAACUUUUGAAUGCUGAACAAGUCUAAGGGUGUGUUUGGUUAGGCUGUGAUUUUUGGAAAAACUGUUGUGAGCUGUGGGCUGUGGAAAAGCAGCUGUGGGAAAAGCAGAAGACCGUUUGGUUAGAGCAGUUGUAAAACUGUAGGCUGUGCAAGAAAUACCUGUAAUGCCCCUAAAGGUCUAUGGGUGUGUUUAUAUGCAAAUUGCUCGUAACAAAAUAAUGUGUUCACUAAUUCACAUGUAAAUGACUAUUUUAGAAAGAAAAAAAUAAAUUUUACGUGUUCAUCCAUCAAAAUGAUUGGUUCGCAAAAAUAGAGCAAUAUCCAUCAAAAUUAAGUUUAUACAAUGAUGCCAUCCCUCAACAUUACUGUUCUCCUCUUGCACUAAUCAAAGCAUCAGGUCUAGUACGAAUGGUAUCUUCAGUUUGGGUGCCUGGAUAACUCGGAUCUUCAGGCCACACACGUUAGACCAUCUAUGAUGAUACUUGCCAAGGAGCAUCCUCCAUGAUGACUUCUUCGAGCUUUCUUUCUCGGCUGAGAACAUCCGAUACACCGAGGCUCCGGAGCGUCGAGGAGAUGAUCCGGAGAUGACGAUAAUCGAGGUUGUACUGCAGCACCAAGCUCUGCAGGACAAGGCAUCUGUACAGGAUGUCAUGGAGAGUGCACUCGGAGAUCCUGACGCCCUUGGGCGUCAGUUGCUCGAGGCGCGGGAAACCGAGCGUGCCGCAAGCGGCGGCGGCCUCCGCGGGGGCUUGAGGAACUCAAGUCCGCCAUGGUUAGAGCAGAUGCGGAGCACGCGUAGGGUUGCCGAGAAGCGGAACACGGACAGCGGCGCCGGCACCGGAUUCCGGCAGAUGUUUUUCAGAGCCAUAGCGAUGGGGAAGGGGGAGGAGAAGCGCAGCCAGAGGCAAAACUCCUGGAGCCCGUCGAGGCCUGGUGGCCGAAGCAUGUCGUCGAUCUGGGUGCGGGUGCCGUCGGUGGCGGGUAGCAGCCUGAUGACGGCGCCGAGGACGUCGUCCGGGAGGCGGCCGAUCAGUUGUGCGUCUCCUUCCUCUCCUCUGGGUGCCAGAGGUGGUCGCUGUUGCCGCAGCGGGCCACGAGGGCAGUAGCGGCGCGCGGGAGGCGCAGGCCCAGUAGGCACGGCGGCGGCGGCGGCGCCCGCGCCCACGCCCGGCGGUGGCGCGAUGGUGCUCGGGCUUGACGGCUUCUCUCACGUGACAGAAAACAAAGAAAAAAAAUAAAAGAACGAACGGGUAUGUUCAUAACCAGUGGUAGGUGGGUAACUUUUUACCCUAAAAGUACUUGAAAGCAGGGGAAGGUGCUUUUGUUUUUGUACUAGAGCAAAAUCAGCUUUUGACAAAAAUACCUGUGGCUUUUAGAUCCUUUGGUUGGCUUUUGGCUUUUGCAAAAGCAAAAGCAGGUUGAAAAGUCCAACCGAAAGCACCCAAGUCCAAACCACCUAUAGAUGGCCAUUUGGGCCGCAGGCAUGGCCUAGCACAUGGUAAGGAGGCACAAGCACGGUUGCACCGUGUUGGCCUGGCACGGUGAUGCUGCCGUACCAGGCUGUGCCUAUCCACAAAUCAGCACGCACAGUUGGAAUAGCGUGCCGUGCUAGCUCACAGCUUGGUAAUAAAAAACAUCAUCAUUUUCAAAUUUGGCAAUACAAAGGUGAAAAAUUGCAAAUUAUAAAAUUUAUCUCAGAAAUUCAAAAGUCACAAAUCUGGACAUCAACUGAUGAUCAAAUCACAAAGUCAACAUAUUCACGUAGCACAUAGGCCACAAAAUGGCAGGUUACAAUAUCACACGUUGACAGACAUAAGUUUUUUCCCCUAUGGGCUAUGCCCGAAUUUCAUUACUUCAAGCAAGCAACGAAAUUAUAAGGUCGGUGGAUUAGAUUCCACCGUACAUUCAGAGUUUCUAACCUAGACUUGCAAACAUGAAAUUAACAGGCUGUAACACAGAGAGUUUCAAGGCUGUAACACAGAGAGUUUCAGGCAUCAAGAUUCAAACUACUGUCACUGACUACACACCAGCCACCGUCUUGAGUGUUUCAGAUUCUGCAUUCUCCAUCGCAAAAGUAAACUUUUAGCACCCAUUCUUGUCAGAUUCACUUCACUGAAGAAGUACCGUCCCUGUGUCAUCCGCUGGGGCCUCCUGUGGAUGAUAAUGCGGAGCCGCCACCUUGAGUGCUUCGGCCCCUUCUUCCAGCUUCAUUCUGUCUUCUUCUUUCUGCAAUUCUGCCCAGUAUAUAAGAAACAAUGAGGCAGAGCAAAUGAUCUCAGUAGGAGAUCGAAUAAUUUUCUUAUCAAAACAAACACUAUUUCUUGCUUUCCAAAUAGCCCAGCAAACAGCCGCAAGACCAACCAUAUGAAAUUUCCUACAAUUUUUUAGAAAAGAAUUAGCCCACACCCAAAAUUAAUUGUUCCAGGUUACAAGGUCUACAGUUUGCUCCAACCACCAAGGCAAUCAAACUCCAAAUAUAUUUUGCCAUAGCACACCCAAAGAACAUAUGUUCCACUGUUUCUCUUUCUGAACAGAAAGCACAAGAUUCAUCUCCUUGCCAUUUCCUUCUCACCAAAUUAUCUUUUGAAAGAAUUGCAUUAUGUUGCAUCAGCCACAUGAAAAUCUUAAUUUUCAGUGGCAUCUUAGCUCCCCAAAUGUUACUGUUUGUUACAGAGGGUUCAUUGCUAAACAUAUGAGAAUACAUGGAUUUGACUGAAAAGACUCCUUUCCCCUCCCAUAUUCAUUUAGGCUUAUCCGUAUCAUUAGAUAAAGCAAAAGAAGUCAGUAAAUCAUUCAACCUUCUCAGUUGGAUUUGUUUACUUUCAUCGAGCCAUCUCCUAAAAGUGAGUCUCCAGUUUCUAUUUGCUAUAUGAGCAACAGUUUCGUUACAUAUUUCAUACAACUCCGGGAACUUAUCUUUUAAGGACACAUUCCCACACCAUGAAUCACUCCAAAAGUCGGUUUUCUUACCAUCCCAACUAUCGUUACUCUCCCUUUAAGUAUAAAUCUUUAACUUUGAUCAGAUUAUUCCACACCGGCGAAUUCGUUGGUUUGCUCUUUAACUGAGACAAACAUGCAUUUAUAACAUAUUUUUUCUUUACAAUUUCUUGCCAUAAGUACAUAACACAUAUUUAGUAUUUACAGAUAGAGCUAUUUCAUAGUUAGGUUUGGCUACCUUAUUAAAAACCUUCCUAGGUAAAAACUUACACUUGGUGAGAAAACCUUAAUCAGGAAGGAAAAAGAGUACAACUCAGCUCAACGAAAUAAGUUUAUGAGUUCAUUACAUGACAUGAUAACAAGAUAACAAGAACUGAAGAACACAUUAGCAUUUCAUCAGGCCAAGGCCACCAGCCUCCACAAAAGUUUCCAAUUCAUCACUUGAUCACUUGGCAGGCCUAGCAAGUAGUGAAAAUACAAGUUCAAAUUCAUGUUAAAGUUCUAGCUAAACGUUCCAUAACUAUCUAGCAAAACGUGUUGUAAGUUCUAACAGAUGAUAAGUUGAAUUCUAGCAUGGAACAAUCAAAUAGUCGUCAGUCCACUCUCUUUAACUGUUGAAACCUUGUUGGUUCAGAGCAAGCUCUUUACCAAACACUCAAAGAAAGCACACACAAAUGGGAAACAAAACUCUCUUAGGGCUUGUAUUUCUCCAAAAAUGUGAACCCUUGUACAAUAGGGUGUUGACAGCAGUUAGCAUGCUAAUUUGUGAACCGCAAGUGCACGGAUCAUCGUAGCUUGUCCCUUAGAGUAUUUCAUCCAAGGUUUAUCAAAUCGUGGAUUAGCAGCGAACUGACUAGGGUUCUCUAUCUAGCUAAAUGGAUCUAAUCCUAUCAUGAAGCAUGAAUUGCAUAUAAAGGUAAACCCAAUGGAGAGAUAAGUAUUAUAAACAAGGUAAAUAGAUCACAUCCAUAUAUAUGAGGUAACACAACCAAAGGUAGCAUGAGCCUAUUGUCUUCUUGUUGUAGUUCCAGCCAAAGUGGUAACCAAUAUAUGUAGCACCUUGAUAAAGAAUCAUUUCUCAGAAAGGUGGCUCGCAAGCGGCCUACUUUCCUGUAGUCACCACUGCGAGGUGCAUGUUAACGCCUCCGGUCUCCCAAGGCUUUACCUCAAAAGACUCCCACAAUACUCGCUAUCGAUCCUACUCAACAUUACGCAAUCGUUCAACUUUUCCCCUCCCAUAUGUUGUCACCAUGCAAAGGUAGUCACACCGACUUCCUACGCACUACUAAGAUGUAUCCGCAAGACAUAGACUAAUCAUCAUGAUUACAUCUAUUCCUACUAAGAACAUAUGCUAGCUAAACAUAUGAGAAUAAGCAUGCAUCAUAGUAGAUCAAAGUAAGCACAAGAUUAGAUUGAUAUCACCAUCGUGUGUACAUAAGCCUUGGUGAUCACAAGGCUCGGCUCCAGAACUCCACCAUGGCUUCGCCACGCAGGGACGACCAUGGCGGCUAGGGUCUAGCCUAAGCCAUCUCCUAGACAACCUUGAAGACUUGCAGUAGCCUUUAGCUUCCUCUAGUGUGUGUCCCUAUAUUUGUCGACUUCUGGUAGAUGGAUCUUGUGUGACGAUGAAUUUUGGGCAUACUUAUCAUUUGGAGGACGCGUGGCUGAAAUAGGAAGGCGAGGGGAGCAAGGACAGCCCCAGGCCAGCCUGGAGGGGUGAGGGAGGGGGGGGUCCAGGGAGAUCGGCAUGGCCCUUCCUUUUAUCCCCUCGCGCCCAACUUCAUUGCCAAGUCUCCUCUAAUGUUCUAGAAGCUUAUUUUUGUAUGCAUGUGGGUCUGACACGUCGAUAGCUGCGGGAUGAGAUUGAUCUUUGCUAACUUUCCAAAUCUCUGCUUGAUCUUCUUUGAUUUCUCUUUGAUCCCGAAGUGAUACUUUCCAUAUCUUCACAAUCUUAGCUCUUAAGUAAUCUUGGAGGAGUGCUUGCCAAAAGUGAGCAUCGGAGGGGGUCAGAAGACUCCUAGCUGAUCGACUUGGGCUUCACCAGGCUGAUCGGCUUGGGUUCUUUCUGAGCCCGCUGGCCUUCGUCUUUGAUAGGUUCGUUGCUUGUUCACGGCUUUAUCCAACAAUAUGCUUUUAGGUCCAAUUUCCUGCAAAAAUAGAAUGUCCUCCAAAAUACAAUGCAUAUGGGAAAACGGGGUUAUUUUAGGUGCCAAGUGGUGGGUUAGUAUAAUAAUAUGUAUGAAAAUAUCACUUAAAUGGCACUAAAAGUAUGUCAAUAAUGAGCGUCAAUAAUUCCCCCAUGCUUAAACCUUGCUCGUCCUCGAGCAAGUCCAGGAUACUUACUUAAUCUAGAAAUCAGCGUUGCCCUUUGAUGUCGUCCCUGCACUCAGUUAUACAUAAUAAGACAUAUUUCUCUCUCAAGUAUUUAGCAUUUAAAGUUCAAGUUAUGACCGGAUACUUUUCAUCAUGGAAGAUAGAAUUAGCAAUAAAGAACAUGCCACAAUAAAAUAAAUACAAUGCUCUUGAACUUAAGUGAACUUCAGACCUUUACCUUGUUCCAUCAUGAAGAGUUUUUCAAAAGAUGCAAAUGCAACACAAGUGAGAUUCUCUUGCAAUAGUUCAUGGAAAUACUCAUCUCAUAUAUGAAAGUGGAAGGCUUAUGUGGAGCUUGGUAGGUAGAAACAAUCCUAGCAAGAUAUUAUAUCUAAAAUAUUAAGUCACUCAAGCCUAUACUAGAUUAUUUUCAACCUAUUCUACUCAUAUAUGAAAGUGGAAGGCUUAUGUGGAGCUUGGUAGGUAGAAACAAUCCUAGCAAGAUAUUAUAUCUAAAAUAUUAUCAAACUAAGAGAGAGAUCUAUUGAGAUUACUUAGACUUGUCAAAAAGGUCAUGGAAAAUAAAUUUUGGAGAGGAAGAGGGAUGAAACAUACACAUUUAGAUAAGUGGACAUGUGCAAGUGGCAAAUGAAUGAUCCAGGGGCACAAAUGAAGUUCUCGUUAUCAGAUUGCACAUGGUUGGAAAAUGAGUAUGGAUCAAUCCUUAAUCUUGAGAGCACUGGGAACUUUAAUAAGGCUUAAAGAACUAAGGAGAAUUUUAUUCUUUUUCUUAUUAUCAUUUUGUCCUUUUUCAUUCCUUUUUUCUUUCUUUCUUCUUUCUUUCUUUUUCCUCAUUUUUCUUUCUUGUUCCUAAUUUUUUUUCAUUUUGCUCCUCAGAACUUCUUGCAACAUAGUACUUUACUCAGCAGUAGUUAGAGAUAAUGCGAUGACUCCUCUCCCAUACUUAGAUGAUGCUCAUCCCCGAGCAUGAAAAGGAAGGAAGAUAAACUGCUGAUUUAAGCACCAAAAUCUUCGAUCUUCUACAAAAAAAUUAUUUUAUUCCUCUGGAGGGAUUUCCACCCCAAAUUUCAAAGAGAACAGAGGGGGAAACACCUCAGGUCGAUCAGCCUGGCCCCUUCUGGCCUCUGUUUUCUUCGCUUUUUAUUCUCCGUACUGGUGGAUGCCUCCAGCUCUUAAUUUUCUUUAAAAGGCAUUGAUUAAUCUUCUGAGUCUUUGUCAAAAUAUUUUUCCAUACUCAAUAAUAGGUUCUGGUCAAGGAGGUAGUCACAAAAAUGAUAUAUUUGGGUUUAGGUUGGAUGCCCAGCGAGGUUCAUGAAAUUUCUAGUGUAGAAAUUCAUAAUGCAUGGACAAAAAGGCUAGAAGAAAAAGGUUUACAUAGAGGAGAUGGCCAGCUUCUAAGUCUCAUACCACAAAAAUCAAUCUUAAUCCAACUCAUCAAAAUAUAAGUUUGCAAUCUAAAGGUUUCAUCAUGAAAGAUCAUGCAUGUAUAUAGGCUCUGGUAGAUAGAACUUUGCAAGAGAUUCACAAAUGUAGAUAGAAUAUGAAUUAAUUUUAAAUUAAAACAAUUCAAGUUAUCAUGUCAUCAGAAAACUUAAAUUGAAGAGCAACAUAGAGUUUGUGGGUCUAGAGUUUUGUCAUUUAACCUCCACAAUUAACAGAGCCGGUAUUUAAUCAAUUUAAGUUCAUUAAACAGAGAACAAUUUGUCAAGUCACAUAAAACAUUGUGUAGGUAAAACAAAACGGCAACCUUCAUCAUUUUUCCAUAAGCAAGAUUAUACCAAAAUUAUUAACAUCGUGGUGAGCACAAGGUGAUGGUGAUCAAUCAUUUAACAAAAAUAAAAACUAGGUUGUACUCCUAGUAGCCAUGUUAUUAUAUAGAGAGAUAUACAAAGGUUGCAUCGAGUCUAUGGUUGAAAACUUAUAUACAUAGGCAUUUAGAAAGAUAUAGACAAAGAAAAGGUUGAGGAAGAAUUUAUCGUCCUUUCGAUGCUUGUGAUGAAGUUCAGCGCGACCUCCCCAAUGCUUAAGCAUUGUGCUUAGGCAUGGAAGAAGAAGAUGAUGCUUUUUGUGGUUGUUGAAAUCCUUGUUCUUAGCGUCCGGAGCUUGUCUUUAUGCUUGUUCACUUUUGUCGCCUUUAUUGUCCUUCAAUUUCUUCUGUUUUCAUGAAAGCACUUCACCAUGCCUUCAAAACAAUUCAAAUGCACAAACUACCCCAAGGUGACUGUCGGGAGUAGAAGCAAUCACCAACAAACAAACAACAUCCCUAAGACAUUAACUUAUGGCAUAGCUAAUCUAGUAAAAUAAAAAUAAAAACCUAAUGGGUGUAUGUGAGUGCAAGUGUGAAUGCAAAUCAUAGGUAGGAAGAUAAACAAAGACAAUGUUUGCACCAAGUUCUAAGCACCAUGCUUACAACUAGGUUGCUAAAAUUUUUCAUAGCCAUAAAAAAAUUGUUAAUCAAAGUCAAACACCAUGAUUAUCCUAAGAUCAAUAACUCUUUCCAGCACAAGAAAAAUAGAGCGCAUUGCAAAGCUUAAAAACCAACCAAUGCAAUAUGGUGAUGAUAUAAAAAGCUAGCAAGGUUUAUUAAACUGAAUGAUGAUGGUUUGCAACCAAGUCUAAACACCACAUUUACACAAGAUUGCAAAGGAAAAUGCCCUAGAAGCAUUAACAUAGAUAUGAAAACAUUCAUCAUAAAAUUUUUUAGGAGAAAGCCAAACUAACACAUGAAUGAUGGAACAAAUGCAAAUGCAAAUGCACAUGCAAAAGGGUUAGCAAAAGCAAAGGCUAGCAAGGUUGAAAAGACUAUCGAUGUUGUUUCACAAUUAGUUGAGUAAAAAAGAAUUGCUUAGAAUGACAAAGUAAGGCUAGCUACUUCAUAAGAAGUCAAGCAAUAUCAACAAGAAAAUCAUUCAUCGAAAAUCCCCAACAACCAAACUAACAAGGCUAAGGGUAGGUUUAUAGGUAUCCUAUAUUUUUGGCUUGGAAAAAGAAUUUUGAAGAGAGAAAUCAAGCAUAGAAAUUCUAACUAAGGAGGUUUUGAAAAACAUAAAGAAAAGAAAGGGCUUGUUUUUUUGAUGAAAAGCAAAAACCUAUGGUUUUAGGAUGGCUCUGGGUAAGGGUGUAGUCAGAACAGAGGCAAAAAUAACUCAGGUUGAUCUGAACGGUGCAACAAGCUGAUCAACACAACUUAAUCCAACCUCUGUUGGCUCUAGUUUUUGGCUGGAUUGAUAGGAAGGCUUAGGUGGAAAAAUAUUUUGAUAAAAACAAUAUGAAACUGCAAUGCAUCAUGAGGUGGAAGAACAAAAUGAUAUGACAUGAUGUGGAGGUGGUCUAAAACAAAAUAAAAAUUAGCCUAAAUUAACUAACCACAAGUUUAGAAUCAAAGGGUGGUGCCAUACUUCAUAUUUCUCUCUAAAAAGACACAAAGAAAAAGACUGUAAACACUAACAUCAUACAAAAAGGGUCUAUAAGUUUUCCAAGAUCAAGUAACAAAGUGCUCCCUCAAUAUUAUUUAAAGCAUACAACAUGUGGUUGCAAAAUUUGUUAGAGCAACGAUACAAUGUUACUUGAUGGUUUCGAUUAAAAAGCAUAAUAUAGACCAUCAUCUUAAUAAAGAAAGUAAAUAAAAAGAUGGGUUGCCUCCCGCAAAGUGCUUUAAUUAUAGUCAUAUAGCUAGACUCCUCACCUCAAUCAUGUUCAUGCGAAGCCAUGGUCCUUUGUGCAAGAAUCCAAAGUAUCCAUGCAGCUUGAUGUUCUCUUUUGUAAUCCUUCAUGGUUCUCUUCUAACACCUCUUUGUAUUGGAUGUAGCCUUCUUGUGUCUUCAAGUGCCAAUGCUCUAGUGAUUUUUAUUUUAUUCUAAGCUUUUGAAUUUGAUCAUGCACGCUUGAUGAAAGCAUUGCCCAAACUCCUCUUCAUUGUUCUCAUCACCUUGUUGCUGCCUCUUCUUCAUGGAUAUUCCCCUACAUCUAGAAUAGAACAUAUACUGAAAUAUAGCUCUAUUGAAAAGUUUAUGAAAUUACCUUUCCAAUGAGUGGUCAUUCAUCUAAAAUGAAGUUCAAAUGAGAGAGUUAUGCCCGUUUUAUUGUCAUUCAUCUAAAAUGGAAUUCAAAUGAGAGAGUUAUGCCCGUUUUAUUUUAGCACUGCGUGCUGUCCGGAACUGAUUUCAGAACGUGCAACGUUCGAUUAUUUGGCCAUAACUUCUUGUAGAAAUCUCCAAUUGCCUUGAUUCUUGAUUCGUUGGAACGUAGACUUCAUGGGCUUCUGAAUAUCCAAAAAUAUUGACGGCAACAAUAGCUUGUUGUGAAUUGAUCUGGAGAUGUUGAUGAUCUUGAUCUUGUGGUCUUUGGGGCAUUAUGUCUCAAAUCCUUUAACUUCAAGGUCAUCCCCAUUGCUGCACUAGCGAGUAGCAUGUCAGCAAUGAUGCAUCUUCUCCAUAAUUCUUGCUUUAUCAAAGGUGGCAGGAUCAGAGGAGGCUCUUGCGCUUUGUGUCGAUGAUCUGAGCAGUUUUCUUCCUUAAUUACAUCACUCAAUUAGAAGCUUUUUGAGCAUCCCACUGGAGAAGAUUGGUACUAUCAUGGUGCUUCUAAUCUUUUUGCCUCCAGUCUUGAUCAACUUCAAGUCAUCAUCUUUUGUGCAGAGAGACCCUCCAAUCAUUCGUCAACAUCAUCACCACCUUCUUCGUCAUUUGCUGCUGCCUCUUCUUCAUUGAAUUCCUCUACGUCAAGUAUAGAACAUGUACCAAAAUUCUACUCAAUUACAAAGUGCAUCAAAUUCCCUUUCCAACAAGUAGUCAUUCACCCAAAAUAGAUUUCGGAUGAAAGAGUUAUGCUAGUUUUACCGUGGCACUACGUUCUGUCCCGAGCUGAUUUCAGAACACGUAACAUUGAAAGAUUUUAUCAUCACUCCUUGUGCAGCUCUCCAAAAUUAGCAAUUCUUGAUGCGUUGCAAAGAAGACUUGAUGGAGCUUUUGAGUAUUCAAUUUUCCUUUGUUGUACAUAUCUGAUUGUAGGUAGAAAAUUGAUCACAACAGCAACAUUUGAGAUGUUGAUGAUCCAACUUAUAACUCUUUGGGCAUGACAUGACCUAUUACUUGAACAAAUAAAUCUCCAAAAAACAUUAGUCUUAAAAUAAUUAAUUGACACAACAUCAUAUUGUGUGGACUUGAUAGAAGAUGAUUGCCACUAGCAAAGUUAUUACCUACUGCUAAAGAGUCGAGUUUGAUGUUGUUAUCAUAUUAUCGGGGUGAAUCCAGACUUGAUGAAAGUCCAUAUUCGAUCAUCUGGCAUCAAGCAUUUACACUUGAUGUAGCACUGGCCCAAUCUUCUGAAAGGUAGUGAUAAAUUUGAUUGCUGGAGACUCGACGUUGACGAUCCGGGCUUCUAAUCAGACUCGAUUCGAAUCCCUACAACCGCUACACCACUACUCCAUUGGUUAUCAACCAAGCACAACUUGAUUGACCUCGCUGAGAAGGCUUUCUUUGCAAGCGAAACGAAGGACAUAAGAAAAAAAGUAUAAACACGCAAUCUGAUAUUGCAAAUAUGAAUGAAGUAAAGAAGGGUUCAAGCUCUCAAUUCGAAAGGACUAAUCCACACAGUCGAGGAGAAUAAGAAUAGGGGCCCUGGAUAACUGUAAAAGGACUUGUCGCCACAGUUACAACAAAUCAAUCUCAGUUUCUCGAAGAAAAACUAGAAAACAAAACCCAAACCCUAAUGUGGCGAUGGCUACUGAAUUUAUGAGGGUUAGGUCAUGGAGACCCCCUUGGACACGCCCCUAUGGGCUCCAACACGAUACACGGGCCAACGGCCCAAAAGAUAGUGGCGCAGCACCCUGACAGAUUCUGGAUGUCCACUUGUUUUGAUGAUUUCUGUUGACUCCAAUUGAAUUUUAAAGUGGGACUAGUGCCAUUGGAAGCUCCAUGAAAUUUUGUUUCCAUCCAUAUAAAGAAUGCCCAAAAUGGACACCGUAUGCGACCUAGGCAUCAUUUUUAGUACGUGCUGCUCUUGGACUCCGAGACAGGCUUGAACUUGAGUUGCUUUGGGCCUCCACCUCGGGGACUCAAACCGAAUUAGCCUCGGGCCUCCUUCUUGACUUGGACACCCUUGCUGACCUCCUUCCCCUCUAUACCAUGUGCCAAACAUGGUCGUAUGCAUGGGUGUCAUGUCCUCAUCAUCCUCCCCUUCUUGAUGAAAAGCCAUCCUCGGCGUCGAUUGUGCUUGAAACUGAUCCUGCACAACACAAAGGAGAACGGGGUUGCGAAGACAAAGGGAAUGAAAACAACUGUGAGGAGAGAUGUGACCAUGUUCCCAAUUGUGUAGUGUGUGAUCUUGCAGAAAACUUUCAGCAAGCGUGUAGGCUCCUUGAUUGAAAGACACACGAUGUUUGUCAAUACUAUCCUGCAAAAGAUUAGUACCAACAAAAGGCACAAUAGGAAUAGAUGAUUCAUUGCAAGAAAAUUCAGCACUAACAAGCAUAGGUAGCAGCCAGCAAUGCUCCCCUUCUUGGGAGACCAAAUUACUAGAGGAACAUGUGAAUAUAUUUGUAUGAUGGCUGCUCUCUAAUUGAUCACAAUCUUGCACAACAAAAGGAGAAUUCAUAUUGCUACGAAUAUAGACUCGAUGUAUCAUAUGCUGUCCUUUGUUAUCAUAUUUGCCAAUAACAUGAUAUGUGUGUUUGGCAAACCAAGGCAAUUCAGCAUAUUUAAAAAGUCUCUCUUCCGAACAAUCUAGAUUACACAAAUUAUCAAAUUCAAUAUAACCCAAAGUAUGCAAGGAAGACAACAGUUUUAGCUCAUAAUUGGCACUAGCAAUAUGCGUAACAUGUUUAUUUUCAGCACAAGUAUUUGGUUCCAAAACAUGUAACACUGAGGCAUUAUCAAAUAAUUCAUCUUUAUCACAAGGAACAUCAAGCACAUCAUCAUGUGACAAAGAUAAAUCAAGAGAUGGUUCCACUAACGAUUGCUCUAUAAUAGCAUGAUUGGUGGAAAAAUUUAGCACAUUAAAAUAAUUCUCACCUUCCGUGAGUGUAGCACCAUGGGCAUUACCUGUGUUUUCAUUCUCACCAGGAGUAAUAGGUGCACUGUGAAGUGAUGGUUCUGAAUUUGCACAUGAGGUUGGGAGCUACUCAUUUUCAUUUGCAUCAUCCUUGUCCUCUUGCUUUUGUUCAUAAUCCUGCAAAAGGUUAUGCAUAGCAAGAGAUACAACAAUGGAUUGAUCCUCUAAAUUAUGCACCUCAUCAUAUGAAUUCAAUGCAGGAGGUGGAUUAACAAAGGAUUCUCUCAUAAGAAUUUUCAUAUCAUUCCAAGUUUGAGGUUUAUCUGAAGGACGUAAAGAAUCCCACCAAGAUAAAGCAGAAUGUCACAAAACACUAGCUGCACUUUUUGCCUUCCUCCUUGGACAUAUGAAGCGAGUUGCAAAUAUGUUAUCUAUUGCAAUUUCCCACUCAAUGUACGCAUCAGCACCUAUACCAUCAUAUGUUGGUGGAUAUGAACAACCUAUCAUUGUUAGAAGAUAGCAAAAGACAACACCAAAGUAUUAUCCCUAUCAACUAGCAACUACUGGAUGGUGGUGAAAGUGGAAUGCAAUAUCACAAGCGGCUUACCACCAUCUUGCAAGUGUUCUUACCAAAGCCAAAUAGGGCGGUACAAUCAGUUGUCGAGCUUGAGGGUAACAGUUGCAAGGUGAACCUGUAUUGAUCAGAAGUAUGUAUGUGGACUAUAGGCAGGCUCAAUAUGGUAGCAAGGAAAAACAAUAAUUCAAUUCAAAAUUUGCAAGACUGAAAAGUAGUCCCAAGCUAGUCUAUGUCGCCGGCCUAAACUCGUCCUGGACUUAGUUCAAGCAAGCAACAAAACAACUCACCACAAGGACUCAAAGGAUGCAAGCACUUCUGAAUUUUUUUAUUCUUUUUUCCCUUCUUUCUUUCUUUCCUGUUUUUUUUGGUGCGGCUUUUUCUGCACUUUUUCAGCACCUCUUUGCCUUUUGCUUGUUUCUUUUUUAAUAUAACAGAAAGUGCCACAGAUGAUAUUACAAUUAAAAUACACAAGUUUGCACUUCAGCACAAAACGAAAGCCUUGUUGUCGACUAGCAACAAGGAAACCUAUGGCUCAGCUAUUUAUGGAAACAUGCAAGGACUAGCUGACACAACACAGAUCAAGCACAAAUAAACAGCAGGGAGCAAAAGAUUGUGACUCAGAUCGACAACAAUCUGGUGAAGUAUGUCUUGUGCACGGUGUCCUUGCCAAAAGAACUCGGACUCCAAAAUUGGAUAGCAAUAUUUUAGUCCAAUCGCUACAAAGAUCACUUAUCUUUCUUCCCUCACGUUGAUAAUACUUUCCUCUUUCUAACGCUAUAUACAACAAACAAGAACAACACUCGUUUGCCCAAAUACAAAUUGGCACCAAAAUUAUUAUGAGGAUAAAUCGACUAGGUGCCAAAACAAUUAAGCAAGACCUGAUACUAAAGACAAGAAUAAGACCUAGACACGACGAACACAAUGACACCGCGAGGGACCAAAAUUCAGAAAAGCAGAUCUGAAAAGAAAAAUUGUGGGGCACAAAUGGGGUUGUAGGACAGCGGAAUUGUUUUUUUGUAGGGUUUUUUGUGGACUAUAGGUAAUUGACAAAAACAAAUCUAAAGAGAUACAAAGGUGUAUACCACACGGGUAACCUGGAAUCCUGAUACCACUUGAUGUAGCACUGGUCCGAUCUUCCGAAAGGUAGUGAUAAAUUUGAUUGGUGGAGACUCAACGUUGAUGAUCCGGGCUUCUAAUUAGACAUGAUUCGAAUCCCUGCAACCGCUACACCGCUGCUCCGUUGGUUAUCAACUAAGCAUAACUUGAUUGACCUUGCCGAGAAGGCUUUCCCUGCAAGUAAAUUGAAGGACACAAGCAAGAAAGUAUAAACACGCAAUCUGAUAUUGCGAAUAUGAAUGAAGUAAAGAAGGGUUCAAUCUCUCAAUUCAAAAGGAGUAAUUGACAAAGUCAAGGAGAACAAGAACAUGGGCCCUGGAUCACUAUAAAAGGACUUGUCGCCACAGUUACAACGAAUCAAUCUUAGUUUCUCGAAGGAAAACUAGAACUAAACAAAAUUCAAACCCUAAUGUGGUGACGGAUACUGAAUUUAUAAGGGUUAGGUCAUGAACACCCCCCUGGACGCGCCCCUAUGGGCUCCAACAUGAUACACGGGCCAACGGCCCAAAAGACGGUGGCGCAGCACCCUGACAGAUUCUGGAUGUCCACUUGUUUUGACGAUUACUGUUGACUCUGAUCGAAUUUUAAGGUGGGACCAGUGCCAAUGGAAGUUGCAUGAUUUUAAGGUGGGACCAGUGCCAAUGGAAGCUGCAUGAAAUUAUGUUUCCAUCCAUAUAAAGAACGCCCAAAUUGGACACCGUAUGCGAUCUGGGCGUCAUUUUUAGUACGUGCUGCUCCUGGACUCCGAGAUGGGCUCGAACUUGAGUUGCUUUGGGCCUCCACCUCGGGGACUCGAACCGAAUUAGCCUUGGGCCUCCUCCUUGACUUGGACACCCUUGCUGGCCUCCUUCCCCUCUAUACCAUGUGCCAAACAUGGUUGUAUGCAUGGGUGUCAUGUCCUCAUCACUUCUUUCAAGGACGCAAACAAGAAAAACAUGAUAUAUGUAAUAAAAAAAUUAGGGUUAGUCUAAAAAAUUAGAUAGAUCGCCCCAGGGUUCGAGUUGCCGAUCCCCAGCAAUGGCGCCAAAAUAGUUUGUUGACGACAGUUAGUACGCCAAUUUGUGAACCGCAAGUGCAUGGAUCAUCGUAGCUUCUCCCUUAGAGUAUCCCAUCCAAGGUUUAUCAAUCCAUGGAUUAGCAGCGAACUGACUAGGAUUAUCUAUCUAGCUAAACGGAUCUAAUCCUAUCAUGAAGCAUGAAUUGCAUAUAAAGGUAAAUCCAAUCGAGAGAUAAGUAUUAUAGAUAGGGUAAAUAGAUCACACCCAUAUAUAUGAGGUAACACAAACAAAGAUAGCAUGAGCCUAUUGUCUUCUUGUUGUAUUCCAGCCAAAGUGGUAACCAACCUAUGUAGCACCUUGAUAAAGAGUCAUCUCUCAGAAAGGCAGCUCGAAAGCGGUCUACUUUCUUGUGGUCACCACUACGAGGUGUGUGUUAACACUUCCACUUUCCCAAAGCUUUACCUCAAAUGACUCCCACAAUACUCGCCAUCAGUCCUACUUAACAUUACGCAAUCAUUCGGCCUUUUCCCUCCCACAUGCUAUCACCACACGAAGGUAAUCACACUGACUUCCUACACACUACUAAGAUGUAUCCGCAAGGCAUAGACUAAUCACCACGAUUACAUCUAUUCCUACUAAGAACAUAUGCUAGCUUAACAUAUGAGAAUAAUCAUGCAUCAUAGUAGAUCAAAGUAAGCACAAGAUUAGAUUGAUAUCACCAUCGUGUGUACAUAAGCCUUAAUGAUCACAAGGCUCGGCUCCAGAACUCCACCAUGGCUUCACCGCGCAGGGACGACCAUGGUGGCUAGGGUCUAGCCUAAGCCAUCUCCUAGACAACCUUGAAGACUUGCAGCGACCCUCAACUUCGUCUGGUGUGUGUCCCUAUAUUCAUCAACUUCUGGUGCAUGGAUCAUGAAUUUUGGGCAUACUUAUAAUCUGGAGGACACGUGGCUGAAAUAGGAAGUCGAGGGGAGCAAGGAAAACCCCAAGCCGAUCGGCCUAGUGGGGUCCAGGCCGAUCGGCCUGACCCUUCCUUUUAUCUCCUCGCACCUAACUUCGUCGCCAAGUCCCCUCUGAUGUUCUGGUAGCUUAUUUUUAUAUGCAUGUGGGGUUGGCACAUCGAUAGCUUCGGGAUGAGAUUGAUCUUUGCUAACUUUCCAAAUCUCCACUUGAUUUUCUUUGAUUCCUCUUUGAUCCCGAAGAGAUACUUGCCAUAUCUUCACAAUCUUAGCCCUUAAGUAAUCUUGGAGGAGUGCUUGCCAAAAAUGAGCGUCGGAGGGGGCCAGAAGACCCUAGGCCGAUUGGCUUGGGCUUCACCAGGGCGAUCGGCCUGGGCUCUUUCUAACCCUGCUGGCCUUCAUCUCUGAUAGGUUCGUUGCUUGUUUAUGGAUUUAUCCAAAAAUAUGCUUUUAGGUCCAAUUUCCUGCAAAAACAGAAUUUCCUCCAAAAUAUAAUGCAUAUGCAACAAUGAGGUUAUUUUAGGUGUCAAGUGGCGGGUUAGUAUAAGAAUAUGUAUGAAAACACCACUUACAUGGCACUGAAAGUGUGUCAAUAAUGAGCAUCAAUAUAGGGGUGCCUCCCCUUUUUUUAGGGAGGCCAACCGACUUUUACAUAGCGAAUUUACCCCCACUCAACCACUACAUUCCUAGAAUAUGCUAUACAUUUUGGUAAAGAAAGAGUCCUAAUCCGAUUUGUACACUCCAACUGGAUCAUGCGAUUCACACCACCCUUCCCACGUCUUCAACAUGACUCUCCCCGCGAACACCUUCGCUGGAAGAAACCACGGCGGUCCUUGAGUUCAACUUCACGAUCCCAUUGACCUCACCUGUUGUCCAUUCCUGUAGACGUUGGGCACCUUUGCAUGGAAACCGAUAGCUCGAUUCGCCUGGAAACAUAGAAAAGAACAUUUGGCACCCUCGCAGCACAUUGCGAAGGUCAUGAUAUGGUGCGAAGGUGACAGAAGGUGUGAAGGUGAUGGCGUGAUGCGGAGGUUAAGUUUUUCCUAUUCCUAAGCGUGAGGGUGAAAUCCUUGAUCCAGAUCCCCAAUAGUAGCCCCUCGCGGGCGAGGUCCAACCCUUGAAAGAAAUCAUUUGAUCUUGAUCAAGGAUAAAAAACGUCUUCCCUCAUGUGCUGGAAAGGAAAUUGAUGUGAAGGUUACCGAAAAGUCGCUUUUGUCCCUGCUUUUUUAGCAUUGGGUGUGGUUAUGGAAGCGAUGCAUUUUGAUGCCUAUAAAAGGAGGGGGGGGGGGGAGGGGGGGGGGGUAACUUUUUGCUCAUUCUCGCACGCUGGGAGACCCUCACUACCUAUUUCUUAGCUACUUUGAGAUUUGUGUUUGCUAGAACACUUGUUCGUCUGGUUGUUGCGAAGGUAUACGCGCUGCUUCAACUUAUUUUAUUUAUUGUCCUAUUUUCUUGUUUUUUAUGGUUAAGGUUUGUUUUGUUUUGCUAGACUUUGAUGUGUUGAUUGUGGCUCACACAAAGCAAACUGCGAGGCUCAUGGAUCCCGAGGAGUUAGCUGCUGCCGGGGUAGAAGAUGCGGCGCAUGAUACAAAUGCAGUUGACGAUGAUUUGGGCGGAUCCCUUCACGCGCAUGAAGGUGAUGAUGUGUCUGGCGUGGAAUCAUUGGAUAGCAAAUUUGGUAAUUCUAGAAAUGAAGGUGAAGAAGAAGAAGAAGAUUUGGAGAAUGUCGAAGCUCAUGUCGAUGAGCUUGUUGCUGAAUGCCCCAAGACCUGUUUCUUUGAUUGUUCGUUGGUGACUCAAAGGGAUAUUGAUUUUUAUGUCGAGAAAGGCUACUUUGCUGCUGGCGAUUGUAGACCUCCGGACGAUGAGGAAAUUUCGAUUCCUAAGUGUCGGGCGUACUCCCCAGACCCACGAGUAGGCCUUAGACGGCCCACUAAGGGACGUACUCGGACAUGAUCAGAACAAGGAUGGGCGUAUCCUACUCGGACUAGUCUUGUAUGUUUAUGGAAAACUAUUCGGGCCGAUACCGAGUAGAACUCUAUAAUAGUACCCGGCUAGGACUCAGACUUGUAACCCUGCCCUCCCAUGUAUAUAAGGCCAGGCAGGGACCCCCCUCGAACAACAAUCCUCAGGACCAGAACAUACACCAAUACAAACCAACACACAGGACGUAGGGUAUUACACGAUCUAGUGGCCCGAACCUGUCUAAAUCGUGUUCCUUGCAUCACCAUUGAUUCCUUGACUCUCGACGACCCUUACCGCACAAAAGACCACCUAGGGUACACCUAGGAGGGUUGCCAGUCUAAAACACCGACAGCUGGCGCGCCAGGUAGGGGAACUCGUCAAGUUUCUCAACGCGAACUCAAUGGCGAAAGUCAUCAUCAGGCCCGUCUUCUUCAUCGAAGCCGGCACCACCUUCGUUUUCGGAUCCUGGCUUUGCGUCGCCAAAGGCUCGGGAUCGUUCCGGCGCCAGAUCGUUGACACUCAGGAGAAGAAACCUGAAGAAUUGACCAGAAAAAAAA